UACAUCUCCAUAUAUAACAUUUCCAUACUAUCAAUUUAAAUCCUAAUCACUUAUGGAUUCAUUUCAUAUUGUCACACUUCAUAUAUAUAUAAUACACAAUUUCUCAUCUCAUAAUUUAAUCAUUUGUCUAUAUGUAAAUAUAAUUAAGAUAUCAAAGUAAUAAUUAAGUAUUUAAAUUAAAUAAAUAGAGUUCGAGUUCAAAGACUACGAACUUACUCGGAAAAACAUAAUAAAAAUGUCUUGCUUUGGACUGCAUAAACACUUCUUUAGUACUAUCAUUUAAUUUAGCACAAACAUAAUAGAAAUGUCUAGCUUGGACAGCACUAAUACAUGUUUUGGACGACAUUUAAAGCUUAUUUUGGACAACAUUCCUCACAAGAAGAACAAGACAACAUUUUGAAUAAUAACGACCUUAACCACGACAUCAAUAGCUUUUAAAUCAGAUUUUUCCUUUGUAUCAAAUGAACUCUUCAACCGAAAACAUAAGUAGGAAAAUAUAGAAAUUUAAGCAAUUAAAAUUUGACAAAGGCCAAGAAAGGCUCACAAUUAAACAUGAUUGAGUUCUCACUAGCAGGGCAUUUCAUUCUAAACACACAAACAAACAUCACAUUACAAAUAAAAUUUUAAUAUUUUAUAUAUACAGUACUCGUAUAUAUAUUGUCUUAUAGUUCGAUAGUGAUAUAUCAAAGCCACCAAAAAGCAUUUAAUUAAUCAUUCAAGAUCAUGCAAUGUACUAAUUUAAUUUUUUUUAAGUAUAUAAGCUCUUGACCUAUUUUGAAACAGAACAACAACAACAAUUAUUGAAUAGACAGGGUUAAAUUACAUACAUAUUUCGUCUAUUUAAGCAGGAUAAUUCAGACAUGCUUAAUUCCAACGUUCAUUCGGACAUUAUUAAUCUCCUGUAUACAUUCAGACAUAUUAAACUCUAGCAUGCCUUUAGAUAUUAAUUUCCAGCACGCAUUCGAAUACUUUUCGAGCUAACAACAAUUAAAUUUUCAGACAAUUUAGCCCCCUACAUCCUUUCAUCAAAUACUUGUUUCUUAGUUUCAACUUUUAAUAAUGGGACAUUACUAAAAUUGAAACUUUUGGACAGCAAUAUAAAUAGCAAUUUAAACUUUUAUAAGCUCCCAAAUUUUAAACUCCUCAAGCAUAAACCGAACAGCAAUGCAUGUUAGUUCCAACCAUAUUUAUUUUGUGCAUUUUACCCACAGUACAAGAUACGCAAAAUUUAAUAGCAACCCGAAUCAAGCGACAUCCUUAAUCUUUUUCUCUUCAAUUGAAUAAUCAAGAGAUAGUUCCCACAACUUUCAGCCAAAUUCAACCAUAUAUAUAUUUUUUAGUGUUAGAAUAAUAAAAGAAUUUUAAAGAUUUGAGUUCAAGAACUCACCAAAAAUUCCAAGUUGAGCCUAGCCUUGAACCAGUUCUUUCCCCUUCUUACUGGUGCCUUUCCUUUAGACGAAUGAAAGAGGGGUUUUUCCUUCUCCAAGCAAAUUUUCUUGAGAAAAUCAGCUCCUAGCCAAGCCGAACCAAGCAUGCAGUUAGCUCUCUUGUCCCCCUAUAUUCGAACAGUAUCCCAAAAACAUGCAAAAAAAAAUUUUCAUUUCCACCAACCUAAGAAAAAUUAUCUGGAUGGAAGAAAAAAUAUGCUUCGCUUUCUUCUCUCCACAUGUUUUUAUAUUAUAUCUAUUUUUUUAAAAAUAAAUUUCUAGCAUUUAAAUCAUUUUAAGCCCCUGCCAUCAUCGUCCACUACAUAAAUACAUAGGUAUAAUUGCAUUAAAACUCCUUUAGCUUUGAUUUACAUUAUAAUAUCAGUUAACAUAAUAAUAAUUAAACUUUAUAAUAUAUAUAUUCAAAGACAUAUAUAAUAAUGUCAUAACCGACCAUUAAUAAGAUCACAUAUCUUAUGGUUCUAUUUAUUACGUAAGUCCUAUAUAUUUAAUUCUAUUUAUAAAUUAUUCUUUAUUCAAUUACGCGAUUUAGCUCAUGUAAUCUAGCUAAACACUCUUUCGUCAAAAAAUUACAUGACCAAAAUUUAAUUCACUUCUAGUAUAACUCUACAAUUAUUUUUAUUAAAUAUUUACGAGUCCGGUUUAGGGAAAUGAAGUCCCGAUACCUCAAUUUCCAAAACCAUCGACUUUAGAACUGAUACACUUGUACCUUGUCUAACUUUCCAAUAAUUAAAAAUUAUUAGACCAAACUUCAAUAUAAUACUGUAAUAUCCUCGCAAAUAUUAAUAAAUAAUAUUCACUGAUCCUAUCAUUGGGAACAGUAUUCCGAAAUCAUCGUUUCCGACUUCAUUGACUUUUGGGUUGUUACAAAUAAUACUUAAUAUAUAAUUAUAAUUAUUCUAAUGUAUAUUAAUUAUCAUCAACUUUGUAUAGAAUUAGAAUUAGAAUUAGUUUAAAUUUUAUCAUAUCUUAAUAAAAUUUUGUUUUAAUAAAUAAAGUAAUAGCAAAUAAUAUUUUAAUAUACAUAUACUAUUUAUUAAUUGUCAUUAACUUUAUAUGACAUUAGGACCUAGAAUAUUUUGUUGUUAAUUUGUUUGAAGACUUCUAAUGGAACUCUUACCCUUUAUCACUUUAAAUACCACACUCACAUACUUUUCCUUUUCCAUCAAAGCUAGCACCUUUCACCCUCCAAAUUCCCUAGCAUCACAUGCCCUUAGUAGCAGCUCCACACUCCAAGUGCCGCACCUUCAAGCUUCCAGUAGUAGCAUCAACAACUACCCCCUGCUCUUACCAGCAGUUGAAUCACCUAGCUUUUUCCAAACGUAUCUACCAACCCGCACGCCCUGAUGCCACGCAUCUGCUCCCACGCCUGGAGACCUGCAAAAUAGCCCCUUCUCGUGCGUUGCUACUGCUGAUCUCGAACGUCGCUGCUGGCCUCAAACCUUUGUACGCCUCAACCUUGUUGUUACUCCUUUCUUCAAGCCGUGCGCACCCUUGCACAAACCAAACACCCCUUGUCACCUUUGCACCACUCUUCCAUCACAUUAGCCACUGACCAAUCACCCUUCCAACCAACCCUCGACCAAAAUCUUUUGCUUUAAAUUUUAUUUAUUUUAUUUUGAGUCUUUAGUUUUUAUACAACAGUGGUAAGAAAUUUUUUUCCUCCUAAAUUUUAAAUUUAUUUAAUUAUUUAAAAUUUUAAUUAAUUGAAUUAUUAAUAUUUUAUACUAAUUGAAUUUUUGAUAAAAUAUUUGUUUCCAUCUUAUGCUCAGGUUAAUCAUGCAUUGCAAAAGAACUCGUACCUCUAUCCAAGUUGAAGAAUCACAAAACAAAUUUUACUGUGAAGAAGCCAAAGUGAGAUACGAUAGCAUCUUCAAAAAUAAGCAAAUGCUUCCAGAAAAACGCUUUACACUGAAAGAAAGCAACUAUAUCAUUUCAUGGCGCGCAUUCAGCAAAUUGCUUAAGCCCUCAAUUGAGAAUUGUUUUGUGAGAAAAGACUUAGUGCAGAUGAAGAGUUAGUUCAUGAAUUUUAUGAGAAUUUGACCUCAACCGAAUUAACAAAAGUUUCUGUCCGAUAAAUCAAGGUACCAAUAAGCUCAAAUGUUAUUAAUGAAUUCUUUGAAUUACCUGAUUUUGAAGACGGCGAAUAUUCUUCUUUGAUGAGAAAUAUUGAGGUUGAAAAAUUUCAAGAAAUUCUUGUGGAACUUACAGUUUCGGGUUCUAAAUGGACUGUGUCAAAGCAUGGAACUCAUACUUGUCGUAGAGAAUAUUUGACACCAUUAGCGAAGGUAUGGUUAUCUUUCAUUCGAUUAAGUCUUAUGCCUAUUUCACAUAGGACCACAAUUUCAUUAGAGCGAAUGCUCUUGUUAUACUCAAUAUUAAAGGCAAAGACCAUUGAUGUGGGAAAAAUCAUUCUAAGAGAAAUGUGAAAUUGUACCGCUAAACGUUUUGGCCCAGCUUACUUUCCUUUUACGAUAAUAAUUUUGUGGUUGAAAGCUAAAAUUCUUGCAAACAUAAAGAAAACAGGUUAUAGCCAGGGCACAAUCAUAUAUUGGGUCCUCUACUAAAUAGCCAGAGAUUCUGUUCUGCAGUAAUGAGUUGAAUUGAGCGAGGAUCCCGAAGAAGAAGAAGAAGAUCCCACAGAGAUCGAACAAAUGCAGUUAGCUGAAAUCCCUGAUAAGGCAAAACCAACUAAACCAAUAACCGAACCUGACAUGGCGAUCUCAACAUUCAGAACUCAAUCGCCUUGCCCAGAUAUUCGUGGUGAGCUGUCAAUGUUGAUGGACACAAUGCAACAUAUGCAAUGGCAGCAACAAGCUUACUAGAGAUAUCUGAAAAUACAGGAUGACUUAAUGAGAAGCGCUUCUACGAAAAUAUCCAAUGACUCGUUUAUUUUUGUGCUUGAGUUUUCUGAUUUCAUAUUUGAACCAUAAAGUCCAAUAUCGAAGAAGGAACGAAGUGAUUCAUGUAAAAAUAAAGACGAUAGAGCAAAAGAUGAGUCAGAUUCUAAGGGAUCUACAAAUAAAUAAGUAAGAGGGAUCUUUACUUUAUAUUUUUUUCUUUCCUAGGAUAUUUCAUGUUUUCAUGAUUAGGUUCUAUUAGGAUUUUUUCUUGCAGAUGAAAAUCAUAAAUAAAAAUGAACAAGUUACAAAAUAAGAAGUGUGACAAUAGAUAUGUACAUGUCUAAGAUUGGAUCUAGAGAGAGCUUGGUACUUAAGUAGUCAAAUUAACUCACUUCCUCUUUUCUAGAAUCUUGCAUGGUGUAUAGUAUCUAUUCACUUCUAACAAUGAGAACAUUGUUCAUUUUAAGUAGAGGAGACCGAAAAAUUGAAAUUAUUUCCUCUCAAAAUAAAUUUUUCUUUUAAUUAUGGUUAGGUUAUAUUCUAUUCAAAAAAUUGAAAUUUUGUUAAGUAUGCUAAACUUCAGUAUGAAUAAAGUUCUAUUACCUCAAUAAUUAUUAUGUUAGCUGAAUUAUGACAUAAAUGUACUCUUCAUAAAGUAUGUAAAUCAUACCAUAAAAUUUUUAGUUCCUUAGGAAAGCUAGGCAUGCAUGAAAGUUUAAGUCUUUAGAAUUAACUUAGUAAUUUCUUGAGGCGAAAUCCUAGGAAGCAUGGAAUGUUGAAAAUGAUUUAGGCAAACUUUCGUUUGGACCGUUUGAGCCUUUCAAGCCAACCUUGAUAAUUUUUACCUCUUGAAACCCAACUUGUUUUGAAAUUAUGCAUUGGAAAUUGUUAUUUUUUAUUUUACAUCAUAUUGAUUAAACUCCUUUUCAAAUCAUCAAAUUUUCACCACCAACUUGUUAAAUUAUUUAUUUCAUAAAUAUUUCUUUGCACUAUCCUUGUGGGUACGAUAUUAUAACUUGUCACUUUAUUACUUGUUUCAAUUAUGUACACUUGCAUAUUUCCAUCGUUCUAGGAUCCCAGCCUUCGAUAUGGUAUCCACCAUCGGUACAUAGUACAUAAUAAAUAUAACACCGGCACAUAGCACCUGAUACAACAUGAACACUAGUGCAAAGUACUUGAUAAUGUGGUCACCAGUACAUAGUACCUGACAAAUAUAAUCACUGGCACAUACUAUUUCAUAAACCCUAAUAACAUAUCAUUUGUAUUCUAAUCAUUCACUAAGUUCACACGGGCCUAAAUUCAAUUCCCAUAUUCUUUAAGAUAGUCAAAUACACAACAUGGCUAUUUAACAUUUCCUAUUAUAUCUCAAUUCAUUUCAAACACAUAUAAUUAUCAUACUUUACAAUUUAAUCAUUCAAUCUCAAUUUCAACAUUUAUUUCAAACAGUCAUGCUAACACAUUUAUAAAUAAUAUAAAAAUAAAUACGUAUUAACAAAAAUGAACCAAAUACGAACUUACCUAAACAAAACAACAACGAACACAACACCGAUGACUAAUCAACAAUUUUUCCUUUUUCGUGUUUAUCGACUGGUUGAUCUGCUUCUUGAUCUAUAUAAUAAUUUAACUCAAUUAACAAUUCCAAAUACCUUAUAUUGUCUAAACAUAUGCAUAUGACCCUUAUUAACAUUUUACAAUAUUUUCCCUAAAAUUUUACCUUUUAUUCAGUUUAAUCCCUAAAAUAGAAACUUUCAUAUUUUUCAUAAUUAAGCCCCAUUCCUUAAAACCAAAUUCAAUUUCAUCCUUUAUCAAUUCCCAAGAAACUAAAUUUAUAGAAAAUUCAUACAAAUUCAAUAUAUUAUCAUUUUAGUCCCUAAACUCAAAACUAACCAAAAUAACUUUACAAAACAAUUAUAUUUCAUAUCAAAGCUUUAAACUCAAUAAUUUAACAACUAAAAACUUCAAAUUCAUCAAUGGUAACUUUUUAAAUGUAACACCCCAAACCCGGCCCAGUCGUUAUGGCCGGAUCCGAUGUGUCACAUUGAAGUUUUUAAGAAAACCAAUGCCUCUUUCAACGUCCUUCUUAGUGUUUUAAAAGAUAGUCUUUGCUAAGUUAAUAAAGUGAAUGGAAGCUGUGGACCAGGUAGGUAUCCGAAACAGAGGAGGUGAGCCAUGAAGGCUGCUUAAGAACCAAUGCUCUUGAUUGGAUCCAAUCCUAGACAUGCCCACAACCAUUGCCACACUUUGUUACGAGGUUAGGUUUUGAGAAAAACGAGUUGGAAUUCAUUUAAGUCGAUAUUUUUGAUAAACCAAUUAAUUGUAUCGUUGCACUAGUUUGAAAACUAUUAUCAUUUUGGAAAUGCUCCCUAGGUCUAACUCAUAUUGUUAUCAGAAAAAUAUAGCGUAUAAAAUAAAAUAAUCCCAGAAAAAUAAUUAAAAUGGCCUUAUUACAACCCAAAACCAAAUAAUAAUAUUAAUAAGAUGCUACUUAUUGCAAUUACAAGAAAUAGAAACAGUAGUGUGGCCAUCUCCGAGUCUCUCGCAGCUCCAAACCAUCUAAGCUUAGGGAUUACCUGCACAGUUAGAAACGGGGUAAGUUUAUGAAAACUCAGUGUGUAAUCCCAACAACAAACAAACAGUGAAAACACAAUGUCAGUACAAUCUGGGCCAAAGCCCUAUUUAGUCUUGGCAUAUAUUGGGCCGAAGCCUUUUGUUUAGCGGUUACUGGGCCGAAGCUUUUUCAUAAAUCAUAUCACUAGGCCGAAGCCUUAUCAUAAAUCAUAUCACUGGGCCGAAGCCUUAUCAUAAAUCAUAUCACUGGGCUGAAGCCUUAUCAUAAAUCAUAUCACUAGGCUUCGCCUUAUCAUAAAUCAUAUCUCUAGGCCGAAGCAUUUUCAUAAAUCAUAUCACAAGGCCGAAGCCUUAUCAUAAAUCAUAUCACUGGGCCGAAGCCUUAUCAUAAAUCAUAUCACUGGGCCGAAGCCUUAUCAUAAAUCAUAUCUCUAGGCCAAAGCCUUUUCAUAAAUCAUAUCAUUGGGUCGAAGCCUUUACUAUAAAUCGUAUUGCCCUUAGGCCCAUUUUAGUAUCACAUGUAAUGUCAAUGGAUGUAUGCAAGCCUAUUUGGGGAGACUACUCGACCCACCAUCCGCUACUCUCCACCCGUACCAACCAACACACCAAGUGGGGAAUGAUUCAACCCACCCAACCAACACACCACUGGCAGCAUAGCUGCUUUAUCAUAUAUCUGGAGGCCUAGCCUCUUUUAAUAACUGGGGCAAAGCCCUUUUGAUAAACUGGGGCAAAGCCCUUUUCGGUAAACUGGGGCAUAGCCCUUUUAGCACUUCCUCCAUUUAUAAAACCCAACCCAUGCAACCUGACAUGCAUGCAGAAUGUCAUGCCCAUAUUUGAAUCAAACAAUCACAGUCAAGUCAUUCAUAUCACCAACAUAUAUUCACAAUCAAAUUCGUCAACCACACAGUCCAAGUCAGUCACUUACCCACAAGGGCAAAAUAGUCAUUUUUUACAUUAUAAGGGUAAUUUCGUAAUUUUACCAAAUAUCAGGGUUUUCCAUGUUCAUAAACAAUUAUCAAUAUUUUCGAGUGUUUAAACAAUGAUCUUUAACCCACUUUAUCAAACUCGGGCUUUUGGGCCCAAAACCUCUAAUGGGCCUACAAAUGCCGAUUUAGCCCAUUAAGCCCACAUAAUCCAAAUUUUACAACAGUACUAACCGUGUUAACGUGCAACUUUUCCAGAUUCCAUUUUCUAUCAGUUUUACCCAAAUGGGCCCGAAGCCCAUUGGGCCCGAUUCCAGCCUAUUGAGGCCCAACUUACCAUCGUGCACAAAAUUGAGUUCUUACAUGUUCCAUCGAUCCAAACACCGAUCUUAUCGUAUUUAUCGCAUCUAUACCCAAACGCAACAUUACAAGUUCCCAAAAUAUUGGUAUUUUAGCAUUUCGACUUCUCAGCAAAUAUUAAUCUAAGCUAUUACGAGGGUUAGUACACACCUGUUACGGGUUGAAGUUGAAACGUUUCCAAAAUCAAUCGCCUACGAUAACCACCACCUGUCACUCAAACUUAACUAAUCCAAUAUCAAUAUAUGUAAAUCCUAAGCACAUCAGUCAUACGGAACAUAAGGGCAUAUUCGUCAUUUUACCAUAUAGGGGUAUUACGGUCACUUUACCCUACAGGGGCUUUACGGUUUUUUUACCUAAUAGGGGUAUUUUAGUCAUUUCACCCUACAAGGGUGUUUUGGUAAAUCUACAAACCAAGGGUAUUUCAGUAAUUUUGUAAACCAAUGGUAUUUCUAUAAUUUUUAGAAAGUCAAGGGUAUUUUUGUAAUUUUGUAAAUCAGGGGUAUUUUGGUAAUUUUACAAAUUAAGGGUAUUUUGGUAAUUUCAUAAACCAGUGGUAUUUUGAUAAUUUUACAAACUAGGGGUAUUAUGGUAAUUUUACAAACCAAUGGUAUUUUAGUAAUUUUAUAGACUAGGGUAAUUUGGUAAUUUUACUGAUCGAGGGUAUUUUGGUAAUUUUGUAAACCAAGGGUAUUUUAGUAAUUUUAUAAAUCGAGGGUAAAACAGUAAUUCUGUAAAUCAAGGGUAAAAUAGUAAUUCUAUAAAUCGAGGGUAAAAUGGUAAUUCUGUAAAUCGAGGGUAAAACGGUAAUUAUGUAAAUCGAGGGUACUUUGGUAAUUUUACAAGUCGAGGGUAUUUUAAUAAGUUUACAGGUCGAGGGUAUUUCAGUAAUUUUACAAAUCAGGGGUAUUUUAGUAAUUUUACAAACUAAGGGUAUUUUGAUAAUUUUACAAACUAGGGGUAUUUUGGUAGUUUUACAAACUAGGGGUAUUUUGGUAAUUUGGUAAACUAAAGUAUUCUAAAUAGGGAUAACAAUACGAAUGGGCCUAAAGCCCUUUCUCAGCCCAAAUGGGCCCACACGCUCGUGUGGCCCAUUUAGCCCAAAUCUAGCCACAAAUAUGAGAUUCACCUAGCCUAGUCCAAUAUUUACUACACAACCAAACAACUUAUCCAAUUGGGCCCACAUGACCCUUUCGGCCCAUCGCGGCCCGAAGUAGCCAUCCUACAGCUAGAGUAGUGAGAAAUACACACCUGAUAGGAGACUGGAGUUAAUCCACGCUCCGAGCACUCUUAGCCGACGCCCAACCCAAACGAGCACGCCAUACAACGAAAGGGAUCAGCUAAGAAAGGUACCUCUACUCUCCUCAUGGUUCUCUCUAUUUAAAGCCAGCUUCGCAUCCCCUCUUAUGUUAGCUUCCCGAUGUGGGAUCCUUCCAACAUCAGAGUUUAAAUUCAACACCAACUCUUGCCGCCCCCUGUUAGCAAAAUAAAUGCUCCUUGCUUGCCAUGGGAUUCGAAUCCAUGCCUCCCCUCAGAUGCUCCACACGCUACUUUCCACUAAGCCACAAGGCUUUUUGUGUCAUAUUUUAUCCCCAAUUAAUUAUAAGGUCUAAAGGCCAAAGUCCAGGUUCCCUAAAAAAAACCAAAAUAAAUUGCAAGAGCCAAGGCUUGAACCCAGGCUCCCAUACAACCUUAAUGACGCCACAACCACUAGACUACAUGCUUCCUUGUGUCAUUUAUUUGCCACAAUAAUUUAAAAGGCCCUCAUUCAAGCAUCCAGGUUUUUUUUUCACUUAAUACCAAAAUUUUUGCUAAAGCCCAAGUUUAAACCCAAGAUUUCUCCAACACUUCUCAAAGCCAUUAACCACUAAAGUAAACAUUUAAUUGUGUUAUUUCAUUGCACAAUUAAAUACCUAUAUACAACCUCCUUAUAGACCCGCACUCAAGGCCCAAUACUUCUAGGCCCAAAUUCCGGUGUUACAAUUCUACCCCCUUAAAGAAAUUUCGUCCUCGAAAUUUUCCACUCUCAGACUACACCACCACAUUUUCGUUGCUCACUCUGAUACUAAUAAUACUAACAUACACCCAAAACAUUUAUCCAUCGGAGCAGAUAGAUUUCACAUGCAAACAAUUUCUACAUUUCCAGAACGCACACCAAAUAAAUACUAAAUCUAAAUUCAAGCGUUACAAUUUACUCUAACUAGAGAGUUCCAGUAUUGUGCUACUAUCUAUAGUAGUUUCUCAAUAUAGCAUUUCAAUCUAUAACAGUAAAUAGAGUUAGAGAACUUACAGAUUUGGCACCGGAGACUCGAUGUGCCACACCUCCAGUAACAUCUUUUUAGAAACAAGUCAAGUUUCGUUGAGAGAUUUCAAAACAAAAUUUUAGAAAAACCCUUUUCAAACCCCAAUUUUGAAAAAAAAAUAAUAAUAACAAUAAUUUUCUGUUAUCCAUACCACAGUCGAGUUUUGUAACCUGGCUCUGAUACCACUAAAUGUAACACCCCAAACCUCGCCCAGACGUUAUGGCCGGAUCCAACGUGUCACAUUGAAGUUUUUAAGAAAACCAAUGCCUCUUUCAACGUCCUUCUUAGUGUUUUAAAAGAUAGUCUUUGCUAAGUUAAUAAAGUGAAUGGAAGCUGUGCACCAGGUAGGUAUUCGAAACAGAGGAGGUGAGCCAUGAAGGCUGCUUAAGUACCAAUGCUCUUGAUUGGAUCCAAUCCUAGACAUGCCCACAACCAUUGCCACACUUUGUUGCAAGGUUAGGUUUUGAGAAAAACGAGUUGGAAUUCAUUUAAGUCGAUAUUUUUGAUAAACCAAUUAAUUGUAUCGUUGCGCUAUUUUGAAAACAAUUAUCAUUUUGGAAAUGCUCCCUAGGUUUAACUCAUAUUAUUAUCAGAAAAAUAUAGCGCAUAAAAUAAAAUAAUCCCAGAAAAAUAAUUAAAAUGGCCUUAUUACAACCCAAAACCAAAUAAUAAUAUUAAUAAGAUAAAACUUAUAAAGAAAUAAAUCGGCUACUUAUUGCAAUUAAAAGAAACAGAAACAGUAGUGUGGCCAUCUCCGAGUCCCUCACAGCUCUAAACCAUCUAAGCUUAGGGAUUACCUGCACAGUUAGAAACGGGGUAAGUUUACGAAAACUCAGUGUGUAAUCCCAAUAACAAACAAACAGUGAAAACACAAUGUCAGUACAAUCUGGGCCAAAGCCCUAUUUAGUCUUGGCAUAUACUGGGCCGAAGCCUUUUGUUUAACGGUUACUGGGCCGAAGCCUUUUCAUAAAUCAUAUCACUAGGCCGAAGCCUUAUCAUAAAUCAUAUCACUGGGCCGAAGCCUUAUCAUAAAUCAUAUCACUAGGCCGAAGCCUUAUCAUAAAUCAUAUCUCUGCGCCGAAGCCUUUUCAUAAAUCAUAUCAUUGGGCCGAAGCAUUUAUUGUAAAUGGUAUGGCCCUUAGGCCCAUUUCAAUAUCACAUGUAAUGUCAAUGGAUGUAUGCAAGCCCAUUUGGGGAGACUACUCGACCCACCAUCCGCUACUCUCCACCCGUACCAACCAACACACCAUGUGGGGAAUGAUUCAACCCACCCAACCAACACACCACUGGCAGCAUAGCUGCUUUAUCAUAUAUAUGGAGGCCUAGCCUCUUUUAAUAACUGGGGCAAAGCCCUUUUGAUAAACUGGGGCAAAGCCCUUUUCGGUAAACUAGGGCAUAGCCCUUUUAGCACUUCCUCCAUUUAUAAAACCCAACCCAUGCAACAUGUCAUGCAUGCAGAAUGUCAUGCCCAUAUUUGAAUCAAACAAUCACAGUCAAGUCAUUCAUAUCACCAACAUAUAUUCACAAUCAAAUUCGUCAACCACAUAGUCCAAGUCAGUCACUUGCCCACAAGGGCAAAAUAGUCAUUUUUUACAUUAUAAGGAUAAUUUCGUAAUUUUACCAAAUAUCAGGGUUUUCCAUGUUCAUAAACAAUUAUCAAUAUUUUCGAGUGUUUAAACAAUGAUCUUUAACCCACUUUAUCAAACUUGGGCUUUUGGGCCCAAAACCUCUAAUGGGCCUACGAAUGUCGAUUUAGCCCAUUAAGCCCACAUAAUCUAAAUUUUACAACAGUACUAACCGUGUUAACGUGCAACUUUUCCAGAUUCCAUUUUCUAUCAGUUUUACCCAAAUGGGCCCGAAGCCCAUUGGGCCCGAUUCCAGCCUAUUGAGGCCCAACUUACCAUCGUGCACAAAAUUGAGUUCUUACAUGUUCCAUCGAUCCAAACACCGAUCUUAUCGUAUUUAUCGCAUCUAUACCCAAACGUAACAUUACAAGUUCCCAAAAUAUUGGUAUUUUAGCAUUUCGACUUCUCAGCAAAUAUUAAUCUAAGCUAUUACGAGGGUUAGUACACACCUGUUACAGGUUGAAGUUGAAACGUUUCCAAAAUCAAUCGCCUACGAUAACCACCACCUGUCACUCAAACUUAACUAAUCCAAUAUCAAUAUAUGUAAAUCCUAAGCACAUCAGUCAUACGGAACAUAAGGGCAUAUUUGUCAUUUUACCAUAUAGGGGUAUUACGGUCACUUUACCCUACAGGGGCUUUACGGUUUUUUUACCUAAUAGGGGUAUUUUAGUCAUUUCACCCUACAAGGGUGUUUUGGUAAAUCUACAAACCAAGGGUAUUUCAGUAAUUUUGUAAACCAAUGGUAUUUCUAUAAUUUUUAGAAAGUCAAGGGUAUUUUUGUAAUUUUGUAAAUCAGGGGUAUUUUGGUAAUUUUACAAAUUAAGGGUGUUUUGUUAUUUUCACAAACCAGUGGUAUUUUGAUAAUUUUACAAACUAGGGGUAUUAUGGUAAUUUUACAAACCAGGAGUAUUUUAGUAAUUUUACAAACCAGGGUAAUUUGGUAAUUUUACUGAUCGAGGGUAUUUUGGUAAUUUUGUAAACCAAGGGUAUUUUAGUAAUUUUGUAAAUCAAGGGUAAAACAGUAAUACUGUAAAUCAAGGGUAAAAUAGUAAUUCUAUAAAUCGAGGGUAAAACGGUAAUUCUGUAAAUCGAGGGUAAAACGGUAAUUAUGUAAAUCGAAGGUACUUUGGUAAUUUUACAAGUCGAGAGUAUUUUAAUAAGUUUACAGGUCGAGGGUAUUUUAGUAAUUUCACAAAUUAUGGGUAUUUUGGUAAUUUUACAAACUAAGGGUAUUUUGAUAAUUUUACAAACCAGGGGUAUUUUGGUAGUUUUACAAACUAGGGGUAUUUUGGUAAUUUGGUAAACUAAAGUAUUCUAAACAGGGAUAACAAUAUGAAUGGGCCUAAAGCCCUUUCUCAGCCCAAAUGGGCGCACACGCUCGUGUGGCCCUUUUAGCCUAAAUCUAGCCACAGAUAUGAGAUUCACCUAGCCUAGUCCAAUAUUUACUACACAAUCAAACAACUUAUCCAAUUGGGCUCGUAGGCCCAUUGGGCCCACAUGGCCCUUUCGGCCCAUCACGGCCCGAAGUAGCCAUCCUACAGCUAGAGUAGUGAGAAAUACAUACCUGAUAGGAGACUGGAGUUAAUCCACGCUCCGAGCACUCUUAGCCGACGCCCAACCCAAACGAGCACGCCAUACAACGAAAGGGAUCAGCUAAGAAAGGUACCUCUACUCUCCUCAUGGUUCUCUCUAUUUAAAGCCAGCUUCGCAUCCCCUCUUAUGUUAGCUUCCCGAUGUGGGAUCCUUCCAACAUCAGAGUUUAAAUUUAACACCAACUCUUGCCGCCCCCUGUUAGCAAAAUAAAUGCUCCUUGCUUUCCAUGGGAUUCGAACCCAUGCCUCCCCUCAGAUGCUCCACACGCUACUUGCCACUAAGCCACAAGGCUUUUUGUGUCAUAUUUUAUCCCCAAUUAAUUAUAAGGUCUAAAGGCCAAAGUCCAGGUUCCCUAAAAAAAAAACCAAAAUAAAUUGCAAGAGCCAAGGCUUGAACCCAGGCUCCCAUACAACCUUAAUGACGCCACAACCACUAGACUACAUGCUUCCUUGUGUCAUUUAUUUACCACAAUAAUUUAAAAGGCCCUCAUUCAAGCAUGCAGGUUUUUUUUUCACUUAAUACCAAAAUUUUUGCUAAAGCCCAAGUUUAAACCUAAGAUUUCUCCAACACUUCUCAAAGCCAUUAACCACUAAAGCAAACAUUUAAUUGCGUUAUUUCAUUGCACAAUUAAAUACCUAUAUACAACCUCCUUACGGACCCGCACUCAAGGCCCAAUACUUCUAGGCCCGAAUUCGGGGUGUUACAUCAAAUCUAUACUAUUUUUACAAAAUAGUCCCUAGGUUAGCUAGAUUAAGCUACAAUGAUCUCAAUAACAUAAAAUUUACGAAAAACGGAAUCAAAAUCGACUUACAUGCAAUGCACAAGCUUGCCAAACUUCUUAAGGCUUUUCAAUGGUGAUUUUCGAUCAAAGAUGAUGAGAUGAAGAAGAUGAUAAUUAUUUUCUUUUGCUUAUGCUUAAUAAUUAUUUAAUUACCAUUUUAACCUUUAAUUUAUUUCAUAAUUUCUAUACAACACAUGCAUGAACCGUCCAUAAUAAUCUAUUAUGGUCUAAUUACCUUUUAAGGCCCUAAAUAAUUAUAAAUUAAGCAUUUGAGAUGAUAAAAAUGAAUAGUAAUUAAGUUUUGUAGUUUUUACAAUUAAAUUAUUUUUUCAUUAAUUAGCUAUUAAAUUUAAAAAUUACAGGACCAAACUUUAAUACGACACUCUAAUAACCUCUUAAAUAUUAUAUAAAUAAUAUUUAUUGACUUAGUAAUCAGAGUUGUGGUCCCGAAAUCACUAUUUUUGACACCAUUGAAAAUGGGUUGUUAUAGUUAACAUGAAUAUAAGGAUAUUAUGUUGUAUUUGAAAGUUAUUGGCAUGAAAAUUGUAAGUGAAUUGAUUUUAAGUUGAACUGAAUUAGAUGUAUGCAUUAGCUUAUAUUUAUUUAAAUUGUCUUGAAUCAUAGAUUUACCACUGAGCAUUUUGCUCAGUGUAUGCUUUUAUUUUCUUUGUUCCCAGGUAAAGUAGAUUCUCGAUUGAUCGAAUGAUUAUCUUAGCAUCUAGUAAUCGAUCCUCAAAUCAGUAAAGUUUGUAUAUUUCCAUUUGUAAAUAGUGUGGCAUGUACCUAGUUGAGUCACUUUUUGCAUAAUAAUUUAUCUAUGUGAACUUUUGAGUAAAAGUUCAAUAUAUGGGAAUUGCCAAUUGAAUGCAAUAUAUUCAUAAGUUAACUAAUGGUUUGGAAUGUUUUAAAUGCUGCAAAUGUAAAUGGUAUAGGUGAAUUGGUAUGUUUGUAUAGGAUUUAAGUGUAGUAUUAUAAAUUGAUUAAAUCAUAGGCAUUAAAACCUUAGUAUAUUGUUAUAUAUGGUUUUGUGGUUCAUAAUUUUUUGUUUGAGGUUUGCAUAGGUUAGCUGGAUAUUGAGAUAUAUGUGCAUAGUGGUUAAAUGAAAAUUGUAGGUUGAUGUUUAGUAAAAAUUGCACCUCCCCAACUCGACAUAGACAUUAGACCCGAAUUUGAGAGAUUACAUUAGCCACCAAAAUGGCCUAGUAGCAAUCGAGGUUUGUAGAAAAAUCAAUUUAAAAAUAUUUAUUUAUUUUGGAAGAAAGCUUAGUCUAUAUUUAGAAAAACUCAAGAGUUAAAAAAAUGAUUAAGUUUAACAUCUUCAUUAUAACAGUGCUUACUAUUGAAAUUUAGUUGAAAAUCCAAAUUACUUACUUAACAAAACCCAUUUACAAUUCAGCAGCGAAAAAGUGAUAUUAACGUAAUUUUAAUAAAAAUCAUGUUUCAUGCAUAAUUAAAUAAAAAUUCAUAUGCUAACAACCUAAAUGAUUUAAAUGUCAUGUAGGCCUAAGUAAAAACCAUAAACUAAGUCCCAUACCAUAAUAAUAUAGUUUCAAAUAACCAAAAUUAUAAAAUAGUCAGUCUAAAAUAAUUUUAUAUAGAAAUCAAAAUUCUGAGUUGAGCCCACCGAAUGUCGAGUCCGUGUCCUAACCUUGUGGGUCAUCUAAAAAGAAGGAAAAUAAGAGGGGAGCUAUGAAAGCUCAAUGUGAGUUCCAUCACAAGGAAAUCGAAACAAAACAGUAGACAAAGCACUUUAACAAUUCUGAUAAUAAACAUAAUCACAAAGCAGUUUAGAAUAACAAUUUUUCACAUAACAUACUUCACUAUAAAAUUCUCAGAAUUCAAAAUAAUCAUAAUCGAAUAAUAAUUCGAAAUGUCGUUAUUUCAAAUUAAUUCAACACAAAGAAGAAUCAGUGUAAUGAUUAAUUAUAUAGAAACACUAUUCAUUGAACGAUUCUCCAUAGUAAUUUCACACAUAUCAAUAUUCCAGAUUACACAACAAUGUACAUAUGUAUAUAUAUGUAUAAUCUCAGAAUCAUAGUUUUGUAUGCACAUAUUUUUAUGAAUUGUAACAGCCCGUUUUUAGUCAAAUUGGAACAGUGAUUUCGGGACCACAAAUUUGAAGUUGAAAUAUUUAUUUUAUUAUUAUUUUAAUGUCUACGACAUGAAAAUAUCAUUGUGUGAAAUUUUUGUUAAGAAAUUUUAUCAUUUGAGUGCUUAAUUUGAUAAAAAGGACUAAAUCACGUCAAGUGUAAAACUUGUGUUCUAUUAGCUAGAAGUGUCUAAUAUCUAUGGAACCUUAAAGUUAAGGUCCUUAAGUAGUAAUUAGACCAUUUCAAUUGUGAGUGGACAAUUAUGGGCUUAUAUUAAGUGAUAUUUAAUGUUUUAAGCCAAGGUUAAUAUGGUAAUUUGUAAAAUAACUUAAGUUAAAAUAAAAGACAUCAUAAUUCAUCAUCAUCUUUUCUUCAUUCCAUAAAAAAAUUGAAGAAAAUAAAUAACCAAGGGAGCUUGGUAGGGUUCAGCCAUUUUAAUGCUCAAUUGUAAGUCCGUUUUUGUCCCUUUUUUAAUGAUUUCUAUGUUUUUGAGAUCGUUGCAGCUAGGUCUAGCUAGCCCAGGGACUAUUUUGAAAAAUAGUUAAAGAUUUUAAAUGUUUCCAUUGAUGAAUAAGCAUGUAUGUUGAAGUUUCUUGAUAGAUUUUGAAUGUUUGUUGUGAGUUAUACAAGUUUUAUAAAGUGAUUUUUAGUGAAAAUGCAAAUUAGGGAUUAAAUUGUGAAAUGUUGAAACCUUGUGGUUAAAAUGUGAAAUAAAUGGAAAAUAUGAACUGCUAGUGACUAAUGUGUAAAUCGGCUAGCAUGGGUUAGCAUUGAAUUUCAUUAAUUUAUGUUUUUAUGAAACAAUGACUAAAUUGUAAAAGUGGUGAAACAUUAGGGGCAAAUGUGUAGAUGUACUUAAAUGUGUGUUUUGGAUUAAAUUGAAUAGAGAGAUUAUUAAAUAAGUUAAUUUUGAAUAUAUUUAGAUAAAGAAAAGCGAAAUUCAGAUCUAGAUCGGGGGAAAACUAAAGUUAUCGACUAAUCGACUUAUUUCAUCAUUUUCACAUCCGAGGUAAGUUCGUAUGUGAUAAAUUCCAUUAUAAUUGUAUUUUAAAUACUUUGGUAUUGUAUAAGUUGUGAAUAUGAGGCUUCGAAUAAGUUCAACAAUGACUCGAUGGUAAUUUGGCAUUGAAAAUCCCAGUUGAACCUUAGGAAUAGUUUAGGAUACUAGUUGUAACACCCCAAACCCGGCCUGGAAGUUUGGCUCAAACUUGGCGUGUCACAUUGAAGUGUUUUUCGAAAACCAUGUUUCCAUUAAAAACCCUUCUUAAUAAUUAAAAACUUAUACCCUUUUUAAACCUUGUUAGAAAACCUCAGCUGAAUAAAACAUUCUUAACAACUUUGUAAAAAUCUUGGUAGUUGCGGAAACUUACUUUAAAAACAAUAGAGGUUACGUGAUGUUUUGAAUAACAGUAGUUGCUUUGGAAAAUCGUGUUCUAAUACUAGCAAUUAUAAGAACAAUAAAUAAAAUUCCAAAUUUGAAAUCCAGAAAAUUACAACGGCUUUACUACAACCCACAUAAAAUAAUUUAAAGGUAAUAAUCAAAACUGUAACAUAAACAGUGUGUGUGGCUUCCUCCGAGCCCCUAGCAACCCCGAUCCAUCUAAGGCUGGAAAUUACCUGAAAGGUUAAUAAACGGGGUGAGUUUACGAAAACUCAGUGUGAAAUCCCCUACUAUAAAAAGGAACAGUCAAUCAUCUAAAAGAAUUAAAAGUCUGGCCCCAGCCUUACUUACAAUUUCAGUACCAAUCGGGUCUUAGCCCAUUACAACAGACAGUACCAGAUGGACCUUAGCCCAUUACAGAAUAAGAAACAUUAUCAGAAUUGGAACCAAAAUGAGAAUCAGAAUCAGAAACAGUAACAGAAUUAGAAUCAGAAUCAAUAUUAGUAACAGAAUCAGAAUCAGAAUCAGAAUUAGGUGACAGAAUCAGAAUCAGAAUCAGUAACAGAAUCAAAAUCAGAAUCAGUAUUAGUAACAGAAUCAGAAUCAGAAUCAAAAUUACGUGACAGAAUCAGAAUCAGAAUGUGAAUGCAAUCGCAACCCAAUCCAGCCGUAUACACCCUCGUACCAACCUUACACCAUGUGGGGAGACAACUCGACCCACCCAUCCGCUACACACCACAGAAUUCGCAGCAUGGCUGCCAGAACAGAUAUUGGGACAGAGUCACCAGAUACAGAUAUUGUGGCAGAGCCACCAGAAUCAGAUAAUGUGGCAAACCCACCUAACAGAAUACGUGGCACAAAGCCAUAGAUAACUGUAAUAACUUCGGCACAUAGCCAUCAGUGACGGUAAUAUAACUGGCGCACAGCCUUCGGUAAAUAUGAUCGACACAGAGUCGUCAACAAAUAUGUUAGGCACAUAACUACAGGUAAAUACGUUUGGCACGAAGCCAUAGUCAAGAUGGCACAAAGCCAUAUUUAGGUUGGCACAGAGCCAUUAAUAACGGGUCUAUAAUCGGCACGAAGCCCACAACAACGGCACACAGCCUUCGGUAGCGUGAUCGGCACUUAGCCAUCGAUCGGUCAACAGAUAUUGUGACAGAGUCACCAAAUACAGAUAUUGUGGCAGAGCCACCAGAACAGAUAUUUGUGGCAUAGCCACCAGAACGCUUUCUCCGUACAAAAUCCCAACCCAUGCAACAUGUCAUGCAUGCAGAAUGUCAUGCCCAUAUUUGAAUCAAACAAUCACAGUCAAGUCAUUCAUAUCACCAACAUAUAUUCACAAUCAAAUCCGUCAAACACACAGUCCAAGUCAGUCACUUGCCCACAAGGGCAAAAUAGUCAUUUAACACCCUAAGGGAAAAAUGGUAAUUUUAUCCCACAAGGGUAUCUUGGUAAUUCUACCCUACAGGGGUAUUUCGGUAUUUCUACCCUACAAGGGUAUUUCGAUAAUUCUACCCUAUAGGGGUAUUUUGGUAAUUCUAUCCUAUAAGGGUAUUUCAAUAAUUCUACCCUAUAGGGGUAUUUCGGAAAUUCUACCCUCAAGGGGUAUUUCAGUAAUUUCACAAUCAAGGGUAAAAUGGUAAUUCUAUAAAUCGAGGGUAAAACGAUAAUUUUGUAAACUGAGGGCCCGCAACAACGGCACACAGCCUUCAGUAGCGUGAUCGGCACUUAGCCAUCGAUCGGUCAACAGAUAUUAUGACAGAGUCACCAAAUACAGAUAUUGUGGCAGAGCCACCAGAACAGAUAUUUGUGGCAUAGCCACCAGAACGUUUUCUCCGUACAAAAUCCCAACCCAUGCAACAUGUCAUGCAUGCAGAAUGUCAUGCCCAUAUUUGAAUCAAACAAUCACAGUCAAGUCAUUCAUAUCACCAACAUAUAUUCACAAUCAAAUCCGUCAAACACACAGUCCAAGUCAGUCACUUGCCCACAAGGGCAAAAUAGUCAUUUAACACUCUAAGGGCAAAAUGAUAAUUUUAUCCCACAAGGGUAUCUCGGUAAUUCUACCCUACAGGGGUAUUUCGGUAUUUCUACCCUACAAGGGUAUUUCGAUAAUUCUACCCUACAGGGGUAUUUUGGUAAUUCUAUCCUAUAAGGGUAUUUCAGUAAUUCUACCCUAUAGGGGUAUUUCAAAAAUUCUACCCUACAGGGGUAUUUCAGUAAUUUCACAAUCAAGGGUAAAAUGGUAAUUCUAUAAAUCGAGGGUAAAACGAUAAUUUUGUAAACUGAGGGUAAACUAGUAAUUCUGUAAAUCAAGGGUAAAACAGUAAUUUUACAAAUCGAGGGUAAAACAGUAAUUCUGUAAAUCGAGGGUAAAACAGUAAUUCUGUAAACUAAGGGUAAAAUGGUAAUUCUAUAAAUCGAGGGUAAAAUAGUAAUUCUGUAAACUGAGGGUAAAACAGUAAUUCUAUAAAUCAAGGGUAAAAGGGUAAUUUUACAAAUCGAGGGUAAAACGGUAAUUCUAUAAAUCGAGGGUAAAACAAUAAUUCUAUAAACUGAGGGUAAAACGGUAAUUCUGUAAAUCGAGGGUAAAACGGUAAUUCUAUAAAUCGAGAGUACUUUGGUAAUUUUACAAGUCGAGGGCAUUUCAGUAAUUGGUAAACUAAAGUAUUCUAAACAUGGAUAACAAUACGAAUGGGCCUAAAGCCUAUUCUCAGCCCAAAUGGGCCCACACGCUCGUGUGGCCCUUUUAGCCCAAACCUAGCCACAGAUAUGCGAUUCACCUAGCCUAGUCCAAUAUUUACUACACAAUCAAACAACUUAUCCAAUUGGGCCCGUAGGCCUAUUGGGCCCACAUGGCCCCUUUCGGCCCAUCGCGACCCGAAGUAGCCAUCCAACAACAAGAGUAGUGAUAAAUACACACCUGAUUGGAGACUGGAGUUAACCCACGCUCCGAGCACUCUUAGCCGACGCCCAACCCAAACGAGCACGCCAUAAAGCGAAAGGGAUCAGCCAAGAAAGGUACCUUUACUCUCUUCAUGGUUCUCUCUAUUUAAAGCUAGCUUCUCAUCCACUCUUAUGUUAGCUUCCCGAUGUGGGAUCCCUCCAACAUCAGAGUUUAAAUUCAACACCAACUCUUGCCGCCCCCUGUUAGUAAAAUAAAUGCUCUUUGCUUGCUAUGGGAUUCGAACCCAUGCCUCCCCUCAAAUGCUCCACACACCACUUGCCACUAAGCCAUAAGGUUUUUUGUGUCACAAUUUCUCCAACAAUAUUCUUAAGGCCUACCUACUACACCCAGGGUUUGAUUCACCUUAAACCAAAUUUUUUGCUAGAGUCCAGGUUUAAACCCAGGACUUCUCCAACACUUCUCAACACACUUAACCACUAAAACAAGCCUUCAUUAACGAAAUUUGCAUGCACAACAGAAUAUUAUAAGCUACCUUAAACCGCUCCCAUGCUCAAGGCCCAAAACUUCUAGGCCCAAAUUCAAGGUGUUACACUAGUGACAUGUCAUUAGGGAACAUUGAUUUGAAUUCGGGCCGUGAUAUUAACUGAUUUGGCUUUGGGCCAUGAAUAUCAACUGAUUUGGCUUCAGGUCAUGUGUAACGGCCCAAAUUUCUGUGAUAUCAGAACAGUGAUUUGAAAUCACUAAAUCCAACAUGUGAGUUUAGAUAUUAGUAAGUAAAUGUUAAGUUUGAAUUAGUGAAAUUAUGAAUUAAAGGAAGUUGUAGAUAAAAUGAGAUAAAAACGAGGUAUUGAGACCUUGAAUUCAUAAACCGAGCCAUAAAUAUUUUUAAAAAUAUUUAUGGAGUGUUAAUAAGUUAGUAUUAAAGUUUUGUCAAGAAAUUUUAAGGUUUUGGUAGUUAAUUGGGUAAAAAGGACUAAAUUGAAUUAAAUGCAAAAUUGUGAGAUGUGAUUAAAUUUCUCUAGUAAUAAUUAAAGGAGGACUAAAUAGGCAAUUAAACACCUAUUAUUGGGCUGGACGACAUGUGUGUGCAGGAAAAAUAAAAAUCAAGUGUGAACAAGGGGCAAAAUUGGAAAUAGGGUAAAAAUUUAAUAGUAAAAUAUGAUGUAGUUGGUAAUUCUAGAGAAUUCAACAUUUUUCUUCAUCUUCAUCAGGUAAAAACACCAUUAGAGAGCUUUUAAGAAGCUAGUUUUUAUAUUCUACAGCAUAUAAGUUCAACUCUUGAUUAUUUCUUGUAAUUUUGUGUUUUUAAGAUUUUUACAACUAGGUCCACUUGUUUAAUUCAUUAGUUUUGAUUUCAUGGGUAAUUUUGAAAGUUCCCAUGAAUAAGUGCUGAAAGUUUAUGAUGAUUUAUCAUGGAAUUGAAGUUUUAAUUUUAUUUUAUGAUAAUUUUAUGAAGAGAUUUACAUAGAAAUUAAUUGUAAGACCUAAUUGUGAAAGUUGUUGAAAUUAGGGUUUUGUGUUGAAGCUUGGAACGUCAAAGAUUGUGAAGUAGUUUGUAGUGUUUAGAUAAAAUGAUAUUUGAAACUAAUUAGUUUAAUUGAUGAACAAAUUGAGUAGGGACUAAAUUGUAAAAACUAAAAAGUUUAGGGUAAUUGUGUAAUUUUGAAAAUUUAAGGGCACAAAUUGUGAAAUAGAAUAGAAUUGAAAUAUAUUCUAAUGAAGGAAUGGUUUUAUAAUUAUAGAUUAAGAAAAUGAAGUGAAUCGUGGAAAGGAUAAAAUUCAAGAAUAGUCCUUGAAUUUCUACAACUUUUGCAAAUUAGCCAGGUAAGUUCAUAUGGCAAAGUUCAAUGUUUGAUAUGAAAAUCUUAUGAUUGUUAAAGUAUUUUAUUGUAGAUGAAUACUAUCAAAUUGUAUUAACUAAUAAAUAAUGUGUGACUAAAAGAACAAAUUAGUUGGAACAAUGGUUUUGAGUGCUUUCAUUUUAUGACCAUAAUGAAUUGACAGAAAAGAUGUGAUAUGUGCUUCCGUAUAAGACCAUAGCAGAGCUAUGGCAUCGGUACAAUAUGAUUUGUGUUCCUGUAUAAGACCAUAGCUGGUGAUACGGGGAAUGCGCGCGGACCAAGAUCGAGUUGCCAAGUCACGGGAAACUCCUACGAAAACCCUAAACAAUCAGAUCCGAAACGAAACAGAAAAAUUAAAAGAUUAGAACUUUGAAUUUCCAGAUCUGAAAUAAAAUCCCCAAAUCAGCAAAGAAUCAAAUUGAGAAUAGAAAUAAGUGUUAGGGUUCUUGAAACCCUCAAGGAGAUUGUGAUUCUGCCCAAUUGAACACCAAGAUAGUUUUCCCCAAAUUUCGACAAUCUAAUUUCACCCAAAAAGAGUAUGGAAAAACCCUAGAAAUUGGGGAUUUUUGGGCUGAUUCCUUAAGAUAGAAAAAGACUGAAAACACAAUAAGAACAGAAAAUAGAUUAGAUAAUGAUUCAGCACAAGUAGAAAUAAAGAAAGAAUUGACAGUAAGAAAUUAAAAGAUAAGUCCUAAGAAGCCUUGAAAUCUCGAAAGAUCUCACAACUCCCUUCAAACGGCUCUAAUCUCCCCUCCAAAGAAUAUCAAUGGCAAGAAGAAGGUUGAAGAUGGCUCCCACAAUCAAAAAGAUUGUUAAAACAACUUCUAAAGAAAACUCAAGAGAAAAUCCUUGAAGAACUCAAAGAGAAUUUUCACUCAAAUCAAAUCUGAAAUUUUCAAUGUAAUUGUAAUGUAAUGUAGGGUGGCUGGCCAAGCCAUAUAAAUAGGCCUUUCAAAUGUUUUCCUAAUUUAAUUAGAACACUAAAACUAAAACUAAAAAAAAAACUCCUAAUUAUUUUAAUAUGGAAAUUCAGCCAAGGGUCUUUUAUUUGGGACUCUUGGACUGAAUAUAAAAAUUUAAACUAAGUAAAAUAAAUAAAUAAAAAAAUAAAACUUUACAACUUGGGCCACUUUGACAAUUUGGCCUGAUUUUCAACUAAGUAUGGGUGGAUUUCUUGAUUGGGCUUGGAAGAAUUUGCUUAUUGGGCCUCGCCUUCAAGAAUUUGGGCUUUUGUGACUCGUAUCAGCUGGGCUAUGGUAUCGGUGUGUUAUGAUAAUGUGAUUCCUUAUCAGACCAUAUCUGGGAUAUGGCAUCGGUAUGAUAUAUGAUCCGUGUAAGACCAUGGCAAAGCUAUGGCUUCGGUGUCUGAUGUGUGACAAUGUGAAAGUCCAUAGUUUACUAUGGAAAUGUAAUAAUGAAGCAUUCAAUUCCCUUAUUGUUCCCUAAUUUGACAAUGAAAAUAUAUGAGAAAUGGGCCCAAGGGAGUUAAAUUUGUGAAUAGCAACAUGGAAAUUAUCCAAAUGAGUUAUUAAUGAAAUUGUGAUUUGCAGGAUGAAUUAGUUAAAGUAAUAGAUAUAUGAUAGUGUAUAAUAUUUGGUAUGAUUUGUGUUUUUAUGCCUAUGAGAGCUUACUAAGCUUUUAUAAGCUUACUUUUGUAUGAUAUUUGUUUUUUAGAUUGACUUAUAUACAUACAAAGGAUUGGAUCUACAACAAGGAUCACACUAUCCAGAUUUAUUCCGGUAGAUUUUGUUAAACAACUUUUUGAUUUAUAUGGCAUGUAUUGGAGGUGAUUUGAUAAUGUAAUUGUAUGGAUGAUUAAGUAUGCAAAGUAUGUUGAAUGUGAUGUUUUGUGUAUGAAAAUGAAAUAUACAUGUUUUGGCUUAAAAUAAUUGAUUGGUUGGAUUCUUAGUGUAUAAUUAUGUUUAGGUACAGGAAAUGGAUAAAUGAAUGUUAUUUGAUCAAGAUUUAUAAGUCAAUGUUUUGGGCAUGAACUAUGUGUGUUUGAUAGGUGAAAAUAGCUUAAAAAUGGUGAAAAAUCAAGUUUUAACAAGGCCAAGUCACAUGGGCGUGUGCCCAGGCCGUGUGGCAAAGUCAGAAUCGCCCAUAGGCUAGUCCCAUGGUCGUGUGAAUAAGACAAAUCUGCCCACAGGCUGGCCCCACGGCCAUGGGAGCCCCACGGGUAGGCCACAUGGGCAUGUCCCNNNNNNNNNNNNNNNNNNNNNNNNNNNNNNNNNNNNNNNNNNNNNNNNNNNNNNNNNNNNNNNNNNNNNNNNNNNNNNNNNNNNNNNNNNNNNNNNNNNNNNNNNNNNNNNNNNNNNNNNNNNNNNNNNNNNNNNNNNNNNNNNNNNNNNNNNNNNNNNNNNNNNNNNNNNNNNNNNNNNNNNNNNNNNNNNNNNNNNNNNNNNNNNNNNNNNNNNNNNNNNNNNNNNNNNNNNNNNNNNNNNNNNNNNNNNNNNNNNNNNNNNNNNNNNNNNNNNNNNNNNNNNNNNNNNNNNNNNNNNNNNNNNNNNNNNNNNNNNNNNNNNNNNNNNNNNNNNNNNNNNNNNNNNNNNNNNNNNNNNNNNNNNNNNNNNNNNNNNNNNNNNNNNNNNNNNNNNNNNNNNNNNNNNNNNNNNNNNNNNNNNNNNNNNNNNNNNNNNNNNNNNNNNNNNNNNNNNNNNNNNNNNNNNNNNNNNNNNNNNNNNNNNNNNNNNNNNNNNNNCUUCUUUAGUUCUUCCCUAGGAUAGGAGUCUACUAGUAAAUAUUUUUCCAAUUAUUUUAACCUUGUUCGUGAGUUUACUGUUUAGUAUAAAUUCCAUUGCAAGAUAUUAUAAUUUUUACAUUAUAUUUUCAAUGAUGCAUGUAAGAUUAGUUGCCACAGAAGUCUGGUAUUUUAGAAACACAAAUGAUAUUAGGUUGGCAACACUUUUAGGUAGUAUUAAACUUAUGAUAAAAAAUGCCAUGUGAUCCAGGUUGGUGGCUCUGAAGAUGUGUAUCUUGCUGCCAAAUCCUUACUCCUCUCGAUGGGAAAAGAGGAACUGCAAGAGGCUAUUGAUUUUAUAUCUCUGUUCGGGUAAAGUGGGCUUUGUGCUUCAGUCAGAGCUGCCUUGGUUCUUAGUGGUAGUAUGGGUUCUAUCUAAUUCAAAAAUGAGAAAGAAAAGGAAAGAAUGGGCAGAUAAUGUAUCUUUCAAAAAUGAUGAAAGUGCCACAAGUAGAGUCAAAACUAAGAGUGUUUUGUUUCAAGAUUCAGUUCCGAACUCAGGUUUGGCGGUAUCUCCAUAGUAAAUCUGAUUUGAUAAAUUUACAAUAUUAUUCAAUAAUUAAUCUCCUUCUUGUUUCUCCUUUUUCUUUUAUUGAAUCACUUGUUUAUCCUCUGUUCUUACAUUUUUUUACCACCUGCAGGUUUCUGAAUUUAAAAGGAGCUUAAAUACUGUAAAUUCUGCAUGUAAUGAGGUAUAUCAUUAAUGUUGUUGAUGACGGCAGUGUUUAUUCGUUCUUAUCUUACAACUUUUGUAUUGGUUAUAUAGGUACGAAAUUUCCUUAAAUUGAAGGAUCUCAUGAAGAAAAUUCUCUAUCUGGGAAAUACAUUGAACCAAGGAACUGCAAGGGGUAAGUGACAUUCAAUUUCUCCUUUUGGCUUCAGUCUUUGAUGCUACAAUUGCAGCUUGUAAAAAGAUUAUGCAGAGAAAAUAUUACUAGCUAAACAACAUGUAAUGUAUUACUAAAACCAAUUAAGGUUCGCUUGUCCAGUCCUUGCAUUAUCUAAGAAUUGGGUAAUAUUCAAAUCGAUCAAAAACUAGUUAUUUAUUGAACAGGUAAAAAACCAAUUAUUUUUUUCCCUUUUUCUUAAAUUAAAGACCAUGCCAUUAAGGUAAAUGCUUAUUAUUGUUAACUAUUAAUUAUAUUAACUAUUUAUUUUACAUUAAAUUAAUGUUUAAACAUAAAAAAAUAAAAUAAGAAACAAUCAAACCAAUUGGUUUAACCUGUGGUCCAGUUUCUUUAACAUUGGCAUUUAUGUCCUUUAAUGUCGAACUUCUACAUUUAUGUCUUUCAUUUUGAAUUUUUAGAUGAUAGUAGUGUCAAUCAAUUCUUUGUCCCUUGUUAUGCUAUUAGUUCCUUUGUUUUGCAUUUUCUUUUUUUCUUUUUUUGCCAAAGCCACUUGUCCCAGGUGUCAUGUUUUUUUAUGCAACUUUAAAUUUAAAGUUGAACUCAGGGAAGAAAUAGAGAUAAAAACAACUAACAUAGUGGAUCAGGAAAAUGCUUUGCCAUGAGCUGCUUUCUGUUUGACUUGUUUACGUAUCUAAAUAAUAGAUUGUUUGAGGAUAGGCCAUGGAUUUGGUGAUAUUUUUUAUUUAAACUAUGUAGGUUUUAGAUGCAACGCCUGUAAAUGCAAAGGCACAUGAUUAAUAACAUGAUCAAUGAUUUUUGUCGAAACAAAUUCUAAUUCUUGCAUAUAUGAUUAAUAACAUGAUUAAUAACAUGAUUAAUGGUUCUUCAAAUUUUCCAAAUGUGUCUUUAAGGUGCUCGAAAAUGUCAUAUUAAUGUUGUCCAUAUAUGAUUUGAAUGCUGGAAAUUUACAGCAUUUAGUUUCCUGCUUGAAGUUGAUUAAACCAUGCUGUAAAUGCAAACAUUAUGCUGUUCACAUGCUAAAUUAACCAUUAGUGAGCUUAAAAUUGAUCUAUUCGAAUGUGUUAAAUUCAUUGUUCAAUGUGAUGUUAUUUCUGCUAAUGUAUUGAGUAUAUUAAGUUGUGCAAUUUGAUGUUAUAUGUGGCGUUAAUAUUGACUUGUUAAUUGCAUAUUUUAUUAUUAAUUUGAUGUUAUAUGUGUCAUUCAUUAACUUUUUUUUUCUUUUUUCUCAGGUUUGAGUUUUUGUUGGAUACAUGGUCUAGGAUUAGCUGAAUUCAUGCAUAGUGACGACUUGUUUAAGCUAAUUGUUUAUCUUAAAGUGUGCAUUCUAUCAUUAUUUUGUUCUAUUUGUAUUUUGUUAGAUUUCUGGUGUAGUAUGAUAAGUGCGGUAUUUUGUUUGGCGGGAUGUAUUUAUAUCAUAGAUUAUUCUUCUUCUCAAUAUUUUGAUAAUGAAUUUUAAUUUUUUUAUAUUUUUCAGGACUUUUUUAUAAUAUUUUAUUUUUUUUUAAUUUUUAUGACCUUUAGCGGCGUUUUUUCAAAUAAACGCCGCAAAAUUUUGCAGCGCCGUCUAUAGCGACGUUUUUUGCGGCGCUUGCAAAAACGCUGUGAAUAGUUUUAGUGGCGCUUAAAGGCGCCGCUAAAGGCCUAAAAAAAAGCCGCUAAAAAUCAGUUUUGCUGUAGUGAUCGUUGCGUUAUUUUGAAAACAAUUAUCAUUUUGGAAAUGUGCCCUAAGUCUAACCCAUUUUGGAUUGUUAUCAGUAAAAUAUAGGGUAUAAAAUAAAAUAAUCCCAGAAAAAUAAUUAAAAUGGCAUUAUUAUGACCCAAAACCAAAUAAUAAUAUUAAUUAAGAUAAAACUUAUAAAAAAAUAAAAUAAACCGGUUACUUAUUGCAAUAAAAAGAAACAGAAACAGUAGUGUGGCCAUCUCCGAGUCCCUCGCAGCUCCAAACCAUCUAAGCUUAGGGAUUACUUGCACAGUUAGAAAUGGGGUGAGUUUACGAAAACUCAGUGUGUAACCCCCAACAACAAACAAACAGUGAAUAACAUAGUGUCAGUACAAUCUGGGCCAAAGCCCUAUUCAGUAACAGUACAGUCUGGGCCUUAGCCUUUAAACAGUAGCAAUAUGGGCCUAAGCUCUAAUUCAGUCUCGACAUAUACUGGGCCGAAGCCUUUUCAUAAAUCAUAUCACUGGCCGAUGCCUUUACUGUAAGCGGUAUGGCCCAUAGGCCCAUUUCAAUAUCACAUGCAAUAUCAAUGAAUGUAUGCAAGCCUAUUUGGGGAGACUACUCAACCCACCAUCCGCUACUCUCCACCAGUACCAACCAACACACCAUGUGGGGAAUAACUCAACCCACCCAACCAAACUCUCCACUGGCAGCAUAGUUGCUUUAUCAUAUAACUGGAGGCCUAGCCUCUUUUAAUAACUGGGGCAAAGCCCUUUUUGGUAAACUGGGGCAAAGCCCUUUUCGGUAAACUGGGGCAUAGCCCUUUUAGCACUUCCUCCAUUUAUAAAACCCAACCCAUGCAACAUGUCAUGUAUGCAGAAUGUCAUGCCCAUAUUUGAAUCAAACAAUCACAGUCAAGUCAUUCAUAUCACCAACAUAUAUUCACAAUCAAAUCCAUCAACCACACAGUCCAAGUCAGUCACUUGCCCACAAGGGCAAAACAAUCAUUUUUCAUAUUAUAAGGGUAAUUUCAUAAUUUUACCAAAUAUCAGGGUUUUCCAUGUUCAUUAACAAUUAUCAAUAUUUCCGAGUGUUUAAACAAUGAUCUUUAACCCACUUUAUCGAAUUCGGGCUUUUGGGCCCAAAACCCCUAAUGGGCCCUACGAAUGCUAAUUUAGCCCACUAAGCCUGCUUAAUCCAAAUUUUCAAUAGUACUAACCGUGUUAACAUGUAACUUUUCCAAAUUCCAUUUUCUAUCAGUUUUACCCAAAUGGGCCUGAAAGCCCAUUGGGCCCGAUUCCAGCCCAUUGAGGCCCAACUUACCAUCGUGUACAAAAUUGCGCUCUUACCUGCUCUGUAACACCCCUUACCCGUACCCGAGGCCAGGAUAAGGUACGAGGCGUUACCGGACAAACAUACAAACAUUAAACUAAAAUACAGGCCAUAAAAUUUCAUUCAUAUUUCAAAAUGUUCAUUCACUUACACAUAGUCCCUUAUUUGAGUCUACGAAGUCCUUUAUUUGAGUCUACGAAGCCCAAAACAUACUUUACAAAGGUUUCGGGACUAAACCGAGAACUUACAAAAAUCUUGGAAAUUUCAUGCUUUAAGGCUCCACACGCCCGUGUCCCAAAGUCGUGUUCCAUACACGGCUGAGACACAUGGUCGUGUCUCUGCCUGUGUGGAAUAUACUUAGGCUAUUUUCCAAGCUUUGGUCAACCUUAAUCUCUUACACACUUAUACAAAUCAAAAGCAUAUAACAUGGUAUUCAUUUAAUGAUUAAAUAUUCUCAAUUAAACCACAAACAUAGCAUUUGUAUGUCAUCAUACAUGUGUAUCUCAUACUCAUUUUACCUUAUUUAUUAUAGUACCACUUAUACAUUUAUACCAAGAUUAUCAUCUUACCAAAUAUCUUCAGCUUAAUCAUCAAGCAUUCAUAUUUAAAACUAGAUCAUAUCUUUAUAAAAUACCACAAUUCAGAUGCGCAAAAUAACGUGUUUGCCUGAAACAUUUCAAUUCAACUCCAUACCCAACAAGCAUUACAUUGAGACUAGUCAUAUAUAUAUACACAUGUCAUGAUACAUAUCAUUUAUUUCAUUAUAUCAAUAUUUCAUAUACCAUAGUUUCCAUGUAUUCCACAUAUAUUUAUUUUCCUCCUCCUCCUCUUCAUUCCACAUCCUUAAUGUAUAUAGCAUUCUUGUAAGUACGAUUUCACAAUUUACUAAUAAAUGCUCACAUCAAACUGUCCACACGAGUCAUAGUUACUUACUUAUUUAUAAUUCGAGCUACAGAGCUCCAAAUUAAGAUCUGUAAAUUUCCAAUAAAACUAGACUCACAUAUCUUUCCACCAUAAAUCUUUCAUAAUUUUUGGUUUAGCCAAUUAGUACAGUUUAUUCAUUAAAAUUUCCCCUGUUUCACAUUCUAACAGUUCUGACCUCUCUUAACUAAAAAUUAAUUAUCUCACAGUACAAAAUUCAGAUAAUGUUCUUGUUGAUUUAUCUUGAAAAUAGACUCAUUAUGGAUUUUAAAAAUAUAAUUUUAAGCCUCUAAUUAUUUUUAUCCAAAUUUUUAUGAUUUUCUAAAGUCAGAACAGGGGAUCACGUAAUCAUUCUGAACCAGUCUCACAAAAACAUAAAUAUCUCAAAAUAUAAAACUCCUUUUUUUUCUCUGUUUCUUUUAUAUGAAAAUAGACUCAUUAAGCUUUAAUUUGAAAUCUCAUUCAGUCUCUGAUUCAAUUUAUACUAUUUUUGUGAUUUUUCAAAAUCACAUUACUGCUACUGUCCAAAACAGUUUUAUUGCUAAUUCACUCUUUCACACUUUCUUUGUAUUAACCUCAUUUUAACAUACAUAUCACAAAUCAUUUUCACCACAUUUCAUACAUUACAAGUAUAGGCCUAUGAUCACAAGAUCACCAUAAAAUCAUCCUCAUGUAUAACUUACUUGUUUAUAACCUUACCACAUCCUAGUCACUUAAUGAACACAUCAUUCACAUAACCAAGUUCCUGCACUUAUUCAUCACAAAACUCACAAAGCAAUACAUAGAGAGUCUCCCGUUGAACACUUCGGAUCAAUCCUCGAUACUUUAUGGUUUCAGCACAUAGCUCCACCCAUCAUAUAGUUCGGCACUCUUGUACACAUGGUGAACACUCAGUACCACCCAUGUGACCUAGCCAAUUUAUCUCGUAGCUCUCUUGUCUACAUGGUGUCCUUCACCUGGAACCACGCAUGCGACCUAGCUACAUAUAUCCCGUAGCUCUAUUGUCUACAUGGUGUACACAUAGUAUCACCCAUGUGACCUAGCUACAUCAUAAUGUCUUGUGGCUCUCUUGUACACAUGAUGUGCACUCAGCACCAUACAUGUGACGUAGCUACAUACUAUCUGUAUCAUCCAAUCUUUCUGAAAGUUCAACUGGGAUUUCUCUCUCUUUUCCAACAAUUUCACCAAUCAAGUAAUUAUACACAAAUAUAUUUCCAAUAUUAUUAUAAAAUAUCAUAAUACAAGUAAUAUUGAUGUAUUACUUACAUAUAAACUUACAUCUCAUUUAAUAUCAAGGCAAUAACAUUAAAUUACACAUUGCCUUAUUGAAAAUCAUAUGAACUUACAAUUUCCCAUAAUAUCCAUAAUCAUAGAAAUCACAUUUAUGUAUGAUAAUUCAAUGCACUUCAUGUACCAUAGAGAUAUUUUUAAAUCAAUUCAUAAACUUGGCACCAUAAUCAUUUAAUUUAACAUAAUUCAAUUAAUUCACUAAAUUUAACUUUCAAAUAUAAAUUACAGCAUUAUUGCUGUAUUAUUAUCAUACCAACUUACAUACUUUCAACACCUCGAAAAUUAUAAUAAAUAUAUCAAUUUUACAUUGAAACAUGCAUAAAUUAAUGCUUAUUAUACAUAUGAACUUACCUCGAUACUAAAACGACCAUUUUACCAACUUUCCCAACUUUCGAUUUUUCUCUCAUUCUAGGUUCAGAUCUCAUUUUUCGGGAUCUAAAACAUCAUAUUUUUCUUAUUUAAUUAAUGUACUAUUCAAAACAGUCCUUAACUCAAACUUUGGAAAAAUUACAAUUUGCCCCUAAACUUUUGCAUAUUUACACUUUUGCCCCUAAACUUUGCAUAUUUACACUUUUGCCCCUAGGCUCGGGAAUUAAACUUCAUCCCUUAUUCUUAUGUUUUAUGACAUCCUGAUCACUUUUCCUUUCUAUGGAAACAUCAAAUUAUCACUCUAACAUAUACUUAUGACUAUUAGGUAUUUUUACCGAUUAAGCCCUUUUACUCGUUUUCACUCAAAACCGAGUAGCACAAGUUGUCUAACAUAAUUUAAAACCUCAUAUUCUAUCAUAAAACAGAAAAAUAAACACAUUUCACCUAUGGGUAUUUUUCCAAAUAUGAACCCUAGCCUAAAUUAUUGCUAGAAUAAGCUUAAUCAAAUUACCGGGAUUCCAAAAACGUAAAGAACUUGAAAAACGGGGUUAGAACGGACUUACUAUUGAGCUUGGAAAGCUUGAAAACCCUAGCCAUGGCUUCUCCCAUGCUAAUUUCGGCCUCCAUGAAAAAGAUGAGUCAAUUUUGGCUUUAUUUUCCCUUUUUAUUUCUUUGAAUUACCAAAUGACCAAAAUGCCCUUCCUUACUAAACUUUCAAAAAUUCCAUCCAUGUCCAAUUUUUUUCCAUCACUUAGAAAUUGGUCAAAUUUCUAUUUAAGACCUCCUAAUUAAUAUUUCAAAGCAAUUUCAUACUAGAAACUUCUAGAAUGCAAGUUUUGCAACUUAUUCAAUUUAGUCCCAAACUUCAAAUUGAGCACUUUAUGCAUAGAAUUUCUUCACGAAAUUUUCACACAAUCAUGCAAUCAUAUCAUAGACCUCAAAAUAAUCAUAAAAUAAUUAUUUCUCUCUCGAAUUUCAUGGUCUUGAAACAUCUGUUCCAACUAGACCCAAUUUUGGGCUAUUACAUGCUCCAUCAAUCCAAACACCGAUCAUAUCAUAUCUAUCGCAUCUUUACGCAAAGGCAAAAUCACAAGUUCCCGAAAUGCUGAAAUUUUAGCAUUUUGGCUUUUCAGCAAAUAUUAAUCUAAGCUACUGCGAGGGUUAUUACACACCUGUUAUGGGUUGAAGUUGAAACGUUUCCAAAAUCAAUCACCUACGAUAACCACCACCUAUCACUCAAACAUAACUAAUCCAAUAUCAAUAUAUGUAAAUCCUAAGCACAUCAGUCAUACUGAACAUAAGGGCAUAUUCGUCAUUUUACCAUACAGGGGUAUUACGGUCACUUUACCCUACAGGGGCUUUACGGUCUUUUUACCUAUUAGGGGUAUUUUAGUCAUUUCAUCCUACAAGGGUGUCUUGGUAACUCUACAAACCAAGGGUAUUUCAGUAAUUUUGUAAACCAAUGGUAUUUCUAUAAUUUUUAGAAAGUCAAGGGUAUUUUUGUAAUUUAGUAAAUUAGGGGUAUUUUGGUAAUUUUACAAAUUAAGGGUAUUUCGAUAAUUUCACAAACCAGUGGUAUUUUGGUAAUUUUACAAACUAGGGGUAUUUUGGUAAUCUACCCUAUAGGGGUAUUUCAGUAAUUUCACAAUUGAGGGUAAAACGGUAAUUUUGUAAAUCAAGGGUAAAACAGUAUUUCUGUAAAUCAAGGGUAAAACAGUAAUUCUAUAAAUCGAGGGUACUUUGGUAAUUUUACAAGUCGAGGGCAUUUCUAUAAUUGGUAAAUUAAAGUAUUCUAAACAGGGAUAACAAUAUGAAUGGCCCUAAAGCCCAUUCUCAGCCCAAAUGGGCCCACACGCUCGUGUGGCCCUUUUAGCCCAAAUCUAGCCACAAAUAUGAGAUUCACCUAGCCUAGUCCAAUAUUUACUACACAAUCAAACAACUUAUCCAACUGGGCCUGUAGGCCCAUUGGGCCCACAUGGCCCCUUUCGGCCCAUCGCGGCUCGAAGUAGCCAUCCUAUAGCUAGAGUAGUGAGAAAUACACACUUGAUAGGAGACUGGAGUUAGUCCCCGCUCCGAGCACUCUUAGCCGACGCCCAACCCAAACGAGCACGCCAUACAGCGAAAAGGAUCAGCCAAGAAAGGUACCUUUACUCUCUUUAUGGUUCUCUCUAUUUAAAGCCAGCUUCGCAUCCACUCUUAUGUUAGCUUCCCUAUGUGGGAUCCUUCCAACAUUAGAGUUUAAAUUCAACACCAACUCUUGCCGCCCCCUGUUAGCAAAAUAAAUGCUCUUUGAUUGCCAUGAGUUUCGAACCCUAGACCUCUUUGCCAACUCUAUGACGCCACCUUGCCACUUCACCACAGGCUCUUUUUGUGUCAUAUUUUAUCCCCAAUUAAUUAUAAGGUCUAAAGGCCAAAGUCCAGGUUCCCUUAAAAAAAUAGAAUAAAUUGCAAGAGCCAAGGCUUGAACCCAGGCUCCCAUACAACCUUAAUUAUGCCACUUCCACUAAACCACAUUGCUCCUUGUGCCAUUUAUUUAACACAAUAAUUUAAAAGGCCCUCAUCCAAGCAUCCAGGUUUUUUUCACUUAAUACCAAAAUUUUUGCUAAAGCCCAAGUUUGAACCCAAGAUUUCUCCAACACUUCUCAAAGCCAUUAACCACUAAAGCAAACAUUUAAUUGUUUCAUUUCAUUGCACAAUUAAAUACCUAUAUACAACCUCCUUACGGACCCCCACUCAAGGCCCAAUACUUCUAGGCCCAAAUUCGGGGUGUUACAAAUUAUGUGUUUAUGAUUAUAUCAAAUUUAUUUCAUACGAGCUUACUAAGCUAUAAAUCUUACUUUGUUUAUUUCUUUCUAUGUUUUAUAGUGAAUUCAAAGCUAGCUCGGAUUUGGAGAUUCGUCGGAGUUCGCUUCACACUAUCCAUCUAUCACUUGGUAUCUAUGAAUUUUGGUAAUAUAAGUAUAUGCCAUGUAUAGGGACUUGGUAUUUUUGGUAUAUAUAUUUUGUCCAUUUGUGUUGGCUUGUAAAUAUUCGGUUUGAAAUGUAUAUAUAUAGCCAUGUGAGUUGGCUUAUGAUGGUGAAUUUGAUGAUGUUUGUACAAAUAGCCUUUGUUUGAGUUUAGUAAUUGCCUUAUAAAUGCUAGUUAUGAUGAUAUUUAGUGCUUGUUGAAAAUGGAUAUAGUGAAUAUCAAAUGGUUGAGGAAUUGGUAAUUAGUAUGCUUAUGAGUUUAGGUAAUUUGAUACAUGUUUGAAAAUGGCCAUAUUGAUGAAUGAAAAGGGUAAAAUUUGUUAUGUAUUUGAAUUGUAUAUUUUGGUAUGGUGAGUCUUGUAAUUGUUGAUAUUGAAAUGUAAUAAAUGAUGCUUGGUUGAAGUAGAUUGAAUGCUUAUUAAUGCCUUGUAUUGGUACCAAUUGGUUUGAUGUAGGAAUGCACAAAUUUGGGUGGCAAAUUGGCUUGGUAAAUAGCCUAUUUUUGUCCACAUGGGCAGAGACACGGGUGUGUGUCUCAGCCGUGUGUGACAUAUGGUUAUGUUACACAGCCGUGUGUCCCCUGGUGUUGAAAUUAAAAUCAAGUCAGUAUGCUCCACAUGGCUUUACACACUGGCGUAUGACUUGGCCGUGUGGCAUAAGUCAGUGUACCUUACAGGUUCGGCACGGCCUAGCACACGGGCGUGUAUGGCCAUUUUUAGGGCACACGGGCUAGCCACAUGGGCGUGUGUGUUGGCCGUGUGACCCAAGUUAGAGAGUUACAUGGGGUCAGACAUGGGUUGGGACACAGCCAUGUACUCCUAUUUUGAAUGUCCACAUGGUCUAUGACAAAGGCGUGUCUAUUGGCUGUGUGAGACACACGACCGGGCCACACGGGCGUGUAUCCCCUGUUUUGAGAAAAAAUUCUAAGUUUCGUAAAAAUCUCUUGAGCUAUCGAUUUAGUCCCAAACCAUUCCUAAAGCAUGUUUAGGGCGUCGUAGGCUCGUUAUAGGGACGUUAUGCUUGAGUUUGAAUAAUGUUUGCAUGAAAUGUGAAAUUAUAUGUGAAUUGAAUGUUUAAAUGUUUUAUAAGUUCGAUAAUACUCUGUAACCCUAUUCUGGCGUUGAAUACUGGUGAGGGGUGUUACAUGAAUGCCAUACGAUUUCGGCUUAUCAGAAAAAUCCUUCCCUACCACUACACUCUAUAAUGGGAGUUCCCUAGAAUUCUCUUCUUCAAUCACUCUGAAUUGUGGAUAUAUACCAUCAAUAAUUUGCAGUUUUCACUGCUAAUGGCUAUGGACACACAACACAUUGAUGUAGGUUGAAUUUGCUUUAGCUGUGGGUACACAACGCACAAUUAAAUGCAAAUACUUACUCGUAGAUAAAAGCUAUCAAAAGGUUUAUGGUUGAACAGUAAAACGAACGUUGUUGGAAUCUACUUUUGCUAUGGAUACACAACAAACAAUUAAAUGCAAAUAUACCGUCAUAUACUUCCUCUGAGCAUAACGUGUCAUCCCAUACAAUGUAGUAUAUUCAAUUUUAAUGCAUACAUAUAUUGUAACAUUUAAUGUUCAAACACAUGACAAAUCAAUAACAAACUCAAGAAUUUCAUACAUUUGAUUUGACAAUCAUUUAAGGCAUACUGUUCAUACGAUCAAACAAAUAUAUAGAGUAACACAUAUAAAAUUUAUAAUUUAUGCAAAUAUUCAUAGAUAAGAAUAAAUACCACAUUAAUUUAGUCAUUCAUGGAUUCUAGAAUACUAUAUAUAAUCAGGGAUCUAAUUGCAUAAUUUAAUUCUCUAAAAAUAGUGUGAAACCUAUUUAGGAACUAAACUAAUCAAAACAUAAAAUUUUAGGUCAAAAUUGUAAAAUUUAAGAAACAGAGGCACAUAGCCAUGUGGAAUGGCUCAGGACGUGUGGGUCACAUGGUUGUUGGGAGGGCCGUGUGAGAUGGCCCAGGCCUUGUGGGUCAGAUGGUUGUGUGGAAGGGUCCAAACCGUGUGGUCUAGGUUGGGUUUGAUUUUGCUUUGAUUUUCUUGUAAAGGAACACACAGCUGAUUUUUGGGGUCUCGUAUGAUGAUCCUCACGUCCAAAUCUUAUCUAGGUUACCUACAUGGAUCUUUGAUUGACAAAAAUGCAAGAAUUAAUAUCUACCUUCAAGAUUUAUCAAAUUUUAGCAAGAUUUUUGAAAAAUCUUCAAAAAGAUUUGAAAUCGAUUUGAAAGAUUGUCAAGAAUGAUGCUAUUCCAUAAUCCUAGGAUUCUAUGGAAUUAGAAACAAAAUUGCUUACUGAUCUUGGCUCAUUUAGAUAGGAAUUUCACAAUGUUUCAUUAAAUCAAGACGAAAACCAGAUUGAAUGGGAUUGAUUUUGAGUUCAGGAUUCAAUUAUAAAAUUUUCAACAAAAGAAUAUGAAGAUUUCUAAAAAAGAAAAAUGAGAAAAUAAAAGAAAAAAGAUGUAUUUAAAAAAGAGAAAAGAAAUUCUAAAUAGGGCAAAAGAUAAUCAAAAUUCUAUUAUGAUUAGGAAUGGACUAAAUGGCUACGUUAAGAAAACUAUAGAAGGUUUAUUUAGUAAUUAAACCAUUGUGGCCGAAUUUAAAGCGGAAAAAAGGGGAAAUAAGGUUAGUGUAAUAUCCUGAAUUAGGGCUUAAUCAGAAUAGUGGUUUCGUAACCACAAAUCUGAGAUAGAAAUAAUUAUUUUACAAUUAUUUUGAUGUUUAUGAUAUGAUUUCAUGAUUGUGUGAAAAUUUCGUGAUGAAAUUCUAUGCCUAAAGUGCUUAAAUUGAAAGUAGGGACUAAAUCGAAUAAGUUGCAAAAUUUGCAUUCUAGAAGUUUUUAGUAUGAAAUUGUUUUGGAAUAUUAAUGAGGAGGUCUUAAAUAGAAAUUUGACCAAUUUUAAGUUCAUGGACAAAAUUAGGACAUGGAAGGAAUUUUUGGAAAGUUUAGUAGUAAGGGUAUUUUGGUCAUUUAGUUAUUAAAAUGAAUUAAAAGCAAAAUUAAAAGCCAAUUUUUGUCCAUCUUCUUCAUUAGGCCGAAAAUUCAAGGGUUCUCCAUAGCUAGGGUUUGUUUCAAGCUUCCAAGCUCCAUAGUAAGUGAUUCCAAGCCCCGUUUUUAAUGUUCUUUACGUUUUUGAAAUUCCGGAAGCUCGAUUAAGCUUAUGCUAGCAAUAAUUUAACCUAGGGUUUAUAUUUGGAAAAAUACCCAUAGGUGAAAUUUUUGUAUUUUGAUGUUUUAUGAUAGAAUAUGGGGUUUUAAAUUAUGUUAGACAACUUGUGCUACUCGGUUUUGAGUGAAAACGAGUAAAAGGGCUUAAUCGGCAAAAAUACCUAAUAGUCACAAGUAUAUGUUAGAGUAAGAAUUUGAUGUUGCCAUAGAAGGGAAAAAUGAUCAGCAUGUUAUAAAACAUAAGAAUAAGGAAUAAAGUUUAAUUCCCGAGCCUAGGGGCAAAAGUGUAAUUAUGCAAAAGUUUAGGGGAAAAAGUGUAAUUUUUCCAAAGUUCGUAUUAAAUGCUGUUUUGAUGAAUGUAUGUAUUAAAUAAGACUAAUUUGGCAUUAUAGAUUAAGAGAAACGAGAUUCAAGUCGCGAUCGAGGAAAAGAAAAGAUUGUGGACUAAAUUGCAAAAUCUUUAUAUUUUGGUACCAAGGUAAGUUCAUGUGUAAAUGUAGUAACAUAAUUGUCAUUUUAAGCAAUUUAAUGUUGUUUAUAUGAUAUGAUGCUGAUUAUUAUCAUGAAAUAUUAUACUUUGUGGUUAUUGUUGAAUAAUAUGUAAUUAUGUGAAUUACUUGAUGAGUACGAACUAUCACCGAAGUACCGAUUUCGAUAUUCCGUGGAAGACGGCAAAGAUGUGUGAUCGAGGAAAAUGCCCGUUUGAACCUUAGGAAUAGAUUAGGACACAAGUGACAUGUGACUAGGAUGGUUGAGCAUCCGAACUCGUUGAGUUGAGUCCGAGUUCACUUAUGGAUGCGAAUGUCCGAACUCGUUGAGUUGAGUCCGAGUUCGUGAGAUGUAACUAGGCAUCCGAACUCGUUGAGUUGAGUCCGAGUUCACUUAUGGAUGCGAACGCCCGAGCUCGUUGAGUUGAGUCCGAGUUCACUUAGGGGCGGGUUACAUGAUUUCUUGAUUACAUAUAUGGCAUUUAUGUGCAAAUUAUCCAUGUAUCCAAGUUAUAUUCCGAUGUGUUCAACGGGUGAAAUUUCUAGUGAAAUGGAAGAACACUUAAGAUGCAAGCGACGUUUUGGUAAGUGUUGUGAAAUGGACACUUUGGACAGGUAUGUUCUUAACCCUCGGGUUGAAAAUAGAUACAACAAUGAUAAGGUGGUAAGAUGAUGAAUAAUGUUCAGAAAUGUGAUAUAUGUUUUGGUGAUACCAUGCUAAAGUUGUUUGGUAUAUUUGUGUUGUUAUGUUACUUGUUAUUUACAUAUGAACUUACUAAGCAUUUAUGCUUACUACCUCCUCUUUAUUUACUGUAGUUUUGAAUAAGCCAGCUCGGGAAUCGGGACGGGUCGAAGGUUCGAUCACACUAUCCAAAGGACUUUCAUCUGGGUAAAUGGCUUGUAAAACUUAAGUAUGGCAUGUAUAGCAAUAUACUUAUUUUGUGUAAAUAAUUUUAUGAUAUGGCCAUGAUUGGUUGAGAAAAUGUUUGAUAUUGAUAAGUCAUGGUGAUGGUUAAAUUUAGAUCAUGUUUGAUAUCAUGGAAGUUUAAUAGGUUAUCUAGUUCAUAACAACUCAUGAAAAGAUGAAAUUUGCCUUAAAACAGAAUAUUGCUGCAGCAAUGACAUGAAUUUGAAAAAUCACUAAAAAUAGUAUAAAUGGAAUUAAAUUAUGUUCAAGUUAUGAAAUUGAAUCUUAAUGAGUCUAUUUUCAUAUGGAUUAAAAAAAACAAGCAUAUAAAUUAUACUUUAUGAGAUAUUUGAAACCUUGUGAAACAAGGCCAGAGUGAUUUCUGAAUCCUCUGUUCUGACUUUAAAAAUUCAUAAUAAAUUUAAAAAAAAUAAUUAGAAGUCAUUAUUUAUAUUUAAAGAUUCCUUGUUGAGUAUAGUUUUAAGAGAAACAAACCUCGUUGUCAGUGAAAUUAUGUAUAGAUAGAUAUCUGAUUCGUAAUACACAGAGGUCAGAGCAGUCGAACCCUAAAACAGGGGAGACUUUAACUAAUAAACUGUACUAAUUGGCCCAACCAAAAAUUCUAGAAAACAAUUAGUAAAUAUAUAUAUGAGUCUAGAUUUAGGGAAAAUUUAUGAAUCUUGAUUUCAAGUUUCGUAAAUCGAGAUAUGAUUUUUCUUGUAACUGUGACGCGGGUAGCUAGAAAGCUAUGAAUGUAGAAACAAAUGAUUUGAAGUUUUUAAUUUGAUAAAUUAUGUUCGGUAACCCCUCAAGCUCGACUCCGGCGAUGGUUUCGGGGGGGCAUUACAUUUGGUGGUAUCAGAGCAGGUUUAGUCAGUUCUCGGACUACGUGUUGUAUAUAGGAUUUUGCUAUACAUGCCAUAUAUAUGAAUUGUGAUAGUGUGACAACUUCUGACCUUUUUAAAUGAUUUUUAUAUAGUAAAUGGAUCCCGAUCCAGCUGUGGCAGAUGAAGUAGAGAGUAAUGCGCCAGCUCCGGUUGAAGGGGCAGUGCCGACUGAAAACCCACCCCCUACUGUUGGUCAGGGAGGAGGAGAAAGGGAUCGGGAAGCCUUUCUCCAAAUGAUGAGUGCAUGGUACAUUGAGUUCGUUCGUACGAACCCAAAUGUACGACCUCCCCCACCUCCCCCAAUUCCUCAACCUAUGCCUUCGAUGCCUCAGGGAGUGGAUAUGAUAAAAUUUCACAGAACUCCCGUUGACAGAAUUCGUAAACAAGAGGCUGAAGAAUUUAGAGCAAAUAUUGAUGAUGAUGCAGAGAAAGCAGAGUUCUGGCUUGAAAAUUCUAUCUGGGUAUUUGAUGAAUUAUCUUGUACACCUGAAGAAUGUUUGAAAUGUGCUACAUCUUUGUUGAGAGAUUCAGCCUAUAAUUGGUGGAAGACUUUGAUUUCGGUGGUACCGAAAGAGAGGGUAAUCUGGGAAUUCUUUCAAGAAGAGUUUCGGAAGAAAUAUAUUAGUGAAAGAUUUAUUGAUCAGAAAUGUAAAGAGUUUCUUGAGCUGAAGCAAGGUAAUAUGACAGUCUUAGAAUAUGAAAGAGAGUUUGUUCGAUUGAGUAAGUAUGCCAGGGAAUAUGUUCCUACAGGAGCCAAGAUGUGCCAACGAUUUGAAGACGGGCUUAACGAAGACAUUAAGGUAUUUGUUGGGAUCCUUGAACUAAAAGAAAUGGUGGUACUUGUCGAUCGAGCUUGCAAGGCUGAAGAAUUACUGAAGGAAAAGAAAAAGGUAGAAUCUGAAACACAAAAUUGGAAGAAAAGACCAAUGAGUAAUGCAUCCUCACAACAAACCGGAAAGUCAAGAAAUAUGAAUCCUCGUUCCCAAGUUUCAGCUGGGCAAUCAUAUGGAAAUUUUAAGAAGCGAAAUGUGGGUCCUAAAUCUCAGACUAUUUCUGCGGCUAGUGUGGGAAAUACGAGAUUUGUUAAACCCGAGUGCCAGCGGUGUGGUUGAAAUCAUUUUGGUCCGUACAGAGCAAAUGAAUGUUUUCGAUGUGGUUUUCUGGAUCAUUUUAUUAGAGACUGCCCAGAGAGAGCUGAGAAAGAAAAAUUUCAGAGUGUAAAAGCUAGUGGUGCAGACUCGACGGAAAGGUAUCCGAGAAAAGCUGGAAGUGAAACAAGUAGUAAGAAUGUAGCCAGAGAUGCAGCAGUUAGAUCUGAAGGAAGAGCUCCGGUUAGAACUUAUGCUAUUAAAGCGCGUGAAGAUGCUUCCUCACCCGAUAUGAUUACCGGUACAUUUUCUCUUGAUGAUACUAAUGUUAUUGCUUUGAUUGAUCCCGGUUCUACUCAUUCAUAUGUAUGCAUGAAACUGGUGUCUAGUAUGAAUAUACCUGUUGAGAACACAAAAUUUAUGAUUAGAGUGUCGAAUCUGUUAGGCAAAUGCGUGAUAGUUGAUAAAGUAAGCAAGAAAUGCCCUUUAAUGAUUCGAGGUCAUUACUUUCUGGCCGACUUGAUGUUGUUUCCGUUUGAUAUAUUUGAUGUUAUUUUGGGUAUGGGUUGGUUGACAUUUCAUGAUGCUAUAGUAAAUUGCAAAGAAAAGGUUAUAGAAUUAAAAUGUGAAAGUGGUGAAAUCUUGCGGGUUGAACCAGACAAAUCAGAGGCAAUAUUUAGUAUGAUUUCUUCGAUGUCGGCUCAGAGAUAUUUGAGAAAGGGUUAUGAAGCUUAUUUGGCGUAUGUAAUUAAUACAAAAGAAGUUGAAAAGAAAGUUGAAUCAGUGCCGGUUGUGUGUGAAUUUGCGGAUGUAUUUCUAGAAGAAUUGCCGGGUUUGCCUCCAGUCAGGGAAGUAGAAUUUGGUAUUGAUUUGAUACUGGGAACAGCUCCGAUCUCGAUUGCUCCAUAUAGAAUGGCACCAACAGAAUUGAAAGAAUUAAAGUCGCAGUUGUAAGAGUUAACUGAUAAAGGCUUUGUGAGACCAAGUUUUUCACCUUGGGGUGCUCCCGUGUUAUUUGUGAAAAAGAAGGAUGGUUAUGAGAUUAUGUGUUGAUUAUCGGUAGUUAAACAAGGUGACAAUAAAAAACAAGUAUCCAUUGCCGAGAAUUGAUGAUUUUUUUGAUCAGCUAAAAGGAGCGACAUGGUUUUCAAAGAUUGACUUGAGAUCUGGGUAUUAUCAGUUGCGAGUGAAAGAGUCAGAUAUGCCUAAAACUGCUUUUAGAACAAGGUACAGUCAUUAUGAAUUUUUAGUUAUGCCAUUCGGGUUGACAAAUGCUCCUACUGUGUUUAUGGACUUAAUGAAUCGCAUAUUUCGGCCAUACCUGGAUAGAUUUGUUGUGGUGUUUAUAGAUGAUAUUUUAAUUUAUUCAAAAGAUGAGACAGAGCAUGCUGAGCAUUUGAGGAUAGUUUUGCAAACUUUGAGAGAUAAGCAGCUGUAUGCUAAGUUUAGUAAAAGUGAAUUUUGGCUCCAGGAAGUUAGAUUUUUGGGUCAUAUUGUUUCAGGUGAUGGUAUACGGGUUGAUCCUAGUAAAAUUUCAGCCAUUGUUGAUUGGAAACCACCGAAAAAUGUAACUGAAGUUAGGAGUUUCUUGGGGCUAGCUGGGUAUUAUCGGCGGUUUGUAAAUGGAUUUUUUAUAAUUGCUGCUCCUAUGACUAGACUACUCUGAAAGGAUGUUAAAUUUGAAUGGACGGAAGAAUGUCAACAGAGUUUCGAAGAAUUGAAAAAGUUAUUAACUGAAGCACCAGUGUUGAUACAACCCGAAUCAAGUAAAGAAUUUGCGGUGUGUAGUGAUGCUUCUCUAAAUGGUUUGGGGUGUGUACUCAUGCAAGAAGGAAAAGUGGUGGCUUAUGCUUCGAGGCAGUUAAAACCUCAUAAGAGGAAUUAUCCUACUCACGAUUUGGAAUUGGCUACAAUGGUGUUUGCUUUGAAGAUUUGGCGACAUUAUUUGUAUGGUGAAAAGUGUCGAGUAUAUAUCGAUCACAAAAUUCUUAAAUACUUGAUGUCACAAAAAGACUUGAAUUUGAGACAGCGAAGAUGGUUAGAGUUAUUGAAAGAUUACGAGCUUGUUAUUGAUUAUCAUCCGGGAAAAGCGAAUGUGGUUGCCGAUGCUUUAAGCAGAAAGUUGUUGUUUGCUUUGAGAGUUAUGAACACUUAGUUGAAAAUGUCAGAUGGCGGUUCGAUUCUAGCAGAGUUAAGAGCAAGACCGAUGUUUUUACAAGAGAUUUUUGAAGCUUAGAAAAAUGAUCAAGAUUUGCUAGACAAGAGAAAACAGUGUGAAGCUGAUACGGUGUAACACCCUGAAUUUGGGCCUAGAAGUUUUGGGCCUUGAGCAUGGGAGCGGUUGAAGGCAGCUUAUAAUAUUCUAUUGUGCAUGCAAAUUUCAUUAAUGAAGGCUUGUUUUAGUGGUUAAGUGUGUUGAGAAGUGUUGGAGAAGUCCUAGGUUUAAACCUGGACUCUAGCAAAAAAAAUUGUUUUAAGGUGAAUCAAACCCUGGGUGUAGUAGGUAGGCCUUAAGAAUAUUGUUGGAGAAAUUGUGACACGCCAAGUUCGAGCCAAACUUCCAGGCCAGAUUUGGGGUGUUACAUUUAGUGGUAUUAGAGCCUGGGUUGCAACAACUCGGCUGUGGAUUGGGUUUUCAAAGGUUGAAUUUUAGAAAAUUAUUUUCAACCACAUGGUCUGUUUGAAGUAUUUCUCUUAAAAAGUGUGGCACACCGAGUCUCCGGCGCCGAAUCCGUAAGUCUUCUGAAUACUUUUUUCUAUUUAGAAAUUGAAAUACUAUGGAUUCCUUAGAUAUUGGUCUGAAUUUAAAUUUGGUAUUUAUUUUAUGUGGAUGUGAUGUUUGGAUAUAGAAAUUGUAUAUAUGUGUGAUAAAUAUGUGUCUGCUUCAGUGAAUAAGUGUUGUAUGUAUGAGAUGUUUCAAGUUCUAGUUGAAGUGUGAUAGUGAUAGUAGGAUCAGAGUGCGCAGUGGUAGCGUAGUGGGGUAGAUGUUACACGACUACCCUGUUAGAUGGAAAUUUCGAGGACGAAAUUUCUUUAAGGGAGGUAGAGUUGUAACACCCUGAAUUUGGGCCUAGAAGUUUUGGGCCUUGAGCAUGGGAGCGGUUGAAGGCAGCUUAUAAUAUUCUGUUGUGCAUGCAAAUUUUGUUAAUGAAGGCUUGUUUUAGUGGUUAAGUGUGUUGAGAAGUGUUGGAGAAGUCCUGGGUUUAAACCUGGACUCUAGCAAAAAAAAUUGGUUUAAGGUGAAUCAAACCCUGGGUGUAGUAGGUAGGCCUUAAGAAUAUUGUUGGAGAAAUUGUGACACGCCAAGUUCGAGCCAAACUUUCAGGCCGGGUUUGGGGUGUUACAUUUAGUGAUCAGAUUUUAGAACCGGUUCUGAUGGUUGUUUGAUGUUUAAAAAUCAGAUUUGUGUACCGAAAAAUGAAGAGUUGAUUCGAAAGAUUUUGCAUGAAGCACAUAAUGGUUGUUUGGCGGUUCAUCCAGGUAGUACGAAGAUGUAUAAUGACUUAAAGAAAAUGUACUGGUGGAGUGGAAUGAAAAGAGAUAUUUCCGAGUUUGUAUCAAAGUGCUUAGUUUGUCAACAAGUGAAAGCUGAACACCAAGUACCUUCAGGAUUACUCCAGCCUAUCAUGAUUCCUGAAUGGAAAUGGGAUCGAAUUACUAUGGGUUUUAUAUCAGGGUUGCCGUUAACUCCAGGGAAGAAAAAUGCCAUUUGGGCAAUAGUUGACAGACUGACUAAAUCGGCUCAUUUUAUUCCGGUACGUACAGAUUAUUCUCUUAAUAAGUUGGCUGAAUUGUAUAUCCGAGAGAUUGUUAGACUUCAUGGGAUACCUUUGUCAAUCAUUUCGAAUAGAGAUCCAAGGUUUACCUCACGGUAUUAGCAAAAGUUGCAAAAGGCAUUAGGUACAAAGUUAAAUUUCAGCACUGCCUUUCAUCCACAAACUGAUGGACAAUCAGAGAGAGUAAUUUAGAUUCUUGAAGACAUGCUCAGAUGUUGUGUAUUGGAAUUUCAAGGUAGUAGGGAAAAGUAUUUACCGUUGGUAGAAUUUACUUAUAAUAAUAGUUAUCAGACAAGUUUGAAGAUGGCACCUUAUGAAGCAUUAUAUGGUCGUAAAUGUCGGACGCCAUUGUAUUGGAUUGAACUCAAGGAAAAUCAGAUUUAUGGAGUUGAUUUAAUAAAAGAAACCGAAGAAAAGGUGAAAGUAAUUCGAGAUUGUUUGAAAGCUGGACCGGAAGGGUAAGUUAAGUCCGCGUUUUAUUGGACCGUAUGAAAUAAUUGAAAAAGUUGGACCGGUAGCAUAUCGGCUUGCACUACCACCUGAAUUAGAGAAGAUUCAUGAUGUGUUUCAGGUAUCUAUUUUACGUCGGUAUCGUUCGGAUCCUUCACAUAUAAUUUCACUGACAGAAAUUGAACUGCGACCGGAUAUGACUUAUGAAGAAGAACCGAUUAAGAUUUUAGCUCGAGAAGUCAAACAACUAAGAAAUAAAAGUGUUGCACUUGUGAAAGUGUUGUGGCAAAAGCAUGGGGUAGAAGAGACUACAUGGGAACCUGAAGAAACUAUGAGAAACCAAUACCCACACCUAUUUACCGGUAAGAUUUUCAAGGACAAAAAUCCUUAAAAGGGGGGGAGAGUUGUAAUAUCCUGAAUUAGGGCUUAAUCGGAAUAGUCGUUUCGUGACCACAAAUCCGAGAUAGAAAUAAUUAUUUUACAAUUAUUUUGAUGUUUAUGAUAUGAUUACAUGAUUGUGUGAAAAUUUCGUGAUGAAAUUCUAUGCCUAAAGUGCUUAAAUUGAAAGUAGGGACUAAAUCGAAUAAGUUGCAAAUUUUGCAUUCUAGAAGUUUUUAGUAUGAAAUUGUUUUGGAAUAUUAAUGAGGAGGUCUUAAAUAGAAAUUUGACCAAUUUUAAGUUCAUGGACAAAAUUAGGACAUGGAAGGAAUUUUUGGAAAGUUUAGUAGUAAGGGUAUUUUGGUCAUUAAGUUAUUAAAAUGAAUUAAAAACAAAAUUAAAAGCCAAUUUUUGUCCAUCUUCUUCAUUAGGCCGAAAUUUCAAGGGUUCUCCAUAGCUAGGGUUUGUUUCAAGCUUCCAAGCUCCAUAGUAAGUGAUUCCAAGCCCCGUUUUUAAUGUUCUUUACGUUUUUGGAAUUCCGGAAGCUCGAUUAAGCUUAUGCUAGCAAUAAUUUAACCUAGGGUUUAUAUUUGGAAAAAUACCCAUAGGUGAAAUUUGUGUAUUUUGAUGUUUUAUGAUAGAAUAUGGGGUUUUAAAUUAUGUUAGACAACUUGUGCUACUCGGUUUUGAGUGAAAACGAGUAAAAGGGCUUAAUCGGCAAAAAUACCUAAUAGUCACAAGUAUAUGUUAGAGUAAGAAUUUGAUGUUGCCAUAGAAGGGAAAAAUGAUCAGCAUGUUAUAAAACAUAAGAAUAAGGAAUAAAGUUUAAUUCUCGAGCCUAGGGGCAAAAGUGUAAUUUUUCCAAAGUUCGUAUUAAAUGCUGUUUUGAUGAAUGUAUGUAUUAAAUAAGAUUAAUUUGGCAUUAUAGAUCAAGAGAAACGAGAUUCAAGUUGCGAUCGAGGAAAAGAAAAGAUUGUGGACUAAAUUGCAAAAUCUUUAUAUUUUGGUACCAAGGUAAGUUCAUGUGUAAAUGUAGUAACAUAAUUGUCAUUUUAAGCAAUUUAAUGUUGUUUAUAUGAUAUGAUGCUAAUUAUUAUCAUGAAAUAUUAUGAUUUGUGGUUAUUGUUGAAUAAUAUGUAAUUAUGUGAAUUACUUGAUGAGUAUGAACUAUCACCGAAGUACCGAUUUCGAUAUUCCGUGGAAGACGGCAAAGAUGUGUGAUCGAGGAAAACGCCCGUUUGAACCUUAGGAAUAGAUUAGGAUACAAGUGACAUGUGACUAGGAUGGUUGAGCAUCCGAACUCAUUGAGUUGAGUCCGAGUUCACUUAUGAUGCGAAUGUCCGAACUCGUUGAGUUGAGUCCGAGUUCGUGAGAUGUAACUAGGCAUCCGAACUCGUUGAGUUGAGUCCGAGUUCACUUAUGGAUGUGAAUGCCCGAGCUGGUUGAGUUGAGUCCGAGUUCACUUAGGGGCGGGUUACAUGAUUUCUUGAUUACAUAUAUGGCAUUUAUGUGCAAAUUAUCCAUGUAUCCAAGUUAUAUUCCGAUGUGUUCAACGGGUGAAAUUUCUAGUGAAAUGGAAGAACACUUAAGAUGCAAUCGACGUUUUGGUAAGUGUUGUGAAAUGGACACUUUGGACAGGUAUGUUCUUAACCCUCGGGUUGAAAAUAGAUACAACAACGAUAAGGUGGUAAGAUGAUGAAUAAUGUUCAGAAAUGUGAUAUAUGUUUUGGUGAUACCAUGCUAAAGUUGUUUGGUAUAUUUGUGUUGUUAUGUUACUUGUUAUUUACAUAUGAACUUACUAAGCAUUUAUGCUUACUCCCUCCUCUUUAUUUACUGUAGUUUUGAAUAAGCCAGCUCGGGAAUCGGGACGGGUCGAAGGUUCGAUCACACUAUCCAAAGGACUUUCAUCUGGGUAAAUGGCUUGUAAAACUUAAGUAUGGCAUGUAUAGCAAUAUACUUAUUUUGUGUAAAUAAUUUUAUGAUAUGGCCAUGAUUGGUUGAGAAAAUGUUUGAUAUUGAUAAGUCAUGGUGAUGGUUAAAUUUAGAUCAUGUUUGAUAUCAUGGAAGUUUAAUAGGUUAUCUAGUUCAUAACAACUCAUGAAAAGAUGAAAUUUGCCUUAAAACAGAAUAUUGCUGCAGCAAUGACAUGAAUUUGAAAAAUCACUAAAAAUAGUAUAAAUGGAAUUAAAUGAUGAGAAAGUUAUGACAUUUAAGCUUAAUGAGUCUAUUUUCAUAUAGAUUAAAAAAACAAGCAUAUAAAUUAUACUUUAUGAGAUAUUUGAAACCUUGUGAAACAGGGCUAGAGUGAUUUCUGGAUCCUCUGUUCUGACUUUAAAAAUUCAUAAUAAAUUGUAAAAAUAUAAUUAGAAGUCAUUAUUUAUAUGUAAAGAUUCCGUGUUGAGUCUAGUUUUAAGAGAAACAAACCUUGUAGUCAUUGAAAUUCUGUAUAGAGAGAUAUAUGAUUCUUAAUACACAGAGGUCAGAGCAGUUGAACCCUGAAACAGAGGAGACUUUAACUAAUAAACUGUACUAAUUGGCCCAACCAAAAAUUCUAGAAAAAAAUUAGUAAAUAUAUAUAUGAGUCUAUAUUUAGGGAAAAGUUACAGAUCUUGAUUUUGAGUUUCGUAACUCGAGAUAUGAUUUUUCUUGUAACAGUGACGCGGGUAGCUAGAAAGCUGUGAAUGGAGAAACAAAUGAUUUGAAGUUCUUAAUUUGAUAAAUUAUGUUCGGUAACCCCUCAAGCUCGACUCCGGUGAUGGUUUCGGGCGUGGGGGUGUUACAGUUAGCAUGGAUAGAACUUAGGAUAAGGGGAAAUUGUGCCAAAACCCUAUCACUAAACUAACAGGCUCAUUCUUAGUCCUUUCCUACCACAUUUAAUACUU
This 48820-nucleotide long non-coding RNA is filed under the name Gossypium barbadense (sea-island cotton). RNAcentral describes it as "long non-coding RNA (GBAR_LNC006469)". Lineage: Eukaryota; Viridiplantae; Streptophyta; Magnoliopsida; Malvales; Malvaceae. The record is from RNAcentral.